Molecule: long non-coding RNA, 56872 nt
Filed under: Gossypium raimondii (Peruvian cotton)
Lineage: Eukaryota; Viridiplantae; Streptophyta; Magnoliopsida; Malvales; Malvaceae
Source: RNAcentral
UGUAUCAAAUAUGUCAUAUUAGUUUCAUUUCAUACUUAUAACCAAUUUAAACAUCAUUCUACAACCGUAAUAACAAAACUUUUAUUCUUAACCUAUACAUCACCUAGGUACAUGCCACAUUAUCAAACAAAGGUACAACACUAAAAUUUCUCUGAGUUCGGGAUUGCUCUGGAUGCUGGACCGGACACUGACUUUUUACUAACCUGCGCUCGGAGACAACCGCACGCUGAGUAUAGAAAUACUCAGUGGUAUUACCAUAAUUCAAAUUAAUAACAUUAAUCGAUAAAUUAUAUACAUUUAAAUUUAUGUCUACAAUUAUUCAAUACAUUUUCUCGUACUUUAAAUCAACCUAAUAAUUAAUAACAAGAAGCAAUAUUUCAAAUCUUGUAUUUAGUUGUAUUCAUACCUUAUUUCACUAUCUCAAUUCUAUUGGAUUUUUCGACAUCUCAUUCUAAUAAUUCAUUCCAAUUCAUACAAAUUCAAUCAAUUUAUCAACUCAUUCAUUAUCAUUUCUAUUUAUAUUCAAUUUAUACUUUUCAAUCUUUUAAUAAUCAAAUUAAACAUUUAGACCAACAUGUUUCAAUAAUAAUAAUAACUAAUUUUAUAAAAUUUGUAUUCAAAUUAACUCAUACACUAUUUCUUAAUUCAAUUUAUACCAUUAAUCUUUCAAUAAACAUUUAAUACAUUAAAUCAACUUGUUUCAACAACAGUAAUANNNNNNNNNNNNNNNNNNNNNNNNNNNNNNNNNNNNNNNNNNNNNNNNNNNNNNNNNNNNNNNNNNNNNNNNNNNNNNNNNNNNNNNNNNNNNNNNNNNNNNNNNNNNNNNNNNNNNNNNNNNNNNNNNNNNNNNNNNNNNNNNNNNNNNNNNNNNNNNNNNNNNNNNNNNNNNNNNNNNNNNNNNNNNNNNNNNNNNNNNNNNNNNNNNNNNNNNNNNNNNNNNNNNNNNNNNNNNNNNNNNNNNNNNNNNNNNNNNNNNNNNNNNNNNNNNNNNNNNNNNNNNNNNNNNNNNNNNNNNNNNNNNNNNNNNNNNNNNNNNNNNNNNNNNNNNNNNNNNNNNNNNNNNNNNNNNNNNNNNNNNNNNNNNNNNNNNNNNNNNNNNNNNNNNNNNNNNNNNNNNNNNNNNNNNNNNNNNNNNNNNNNNNNNNNNNNNNNNNNNNNNNNNNNNNNNNNNNNNNNNNNNNNNNNNNNNNNNNNNNNNNNNNNNNNNNNNNNNNNNNNNNNNNNNNNNNNNNNNNNNNNNNNNNNNNNNNNNNNNNNNNNNNNNNNNNNNNNNNNNNNNNNNNNNNNNNNNNNNNNNNNNNNNNNNNNNNNNNNNNNNNNNNNNNNNNNNNNNNNNNNNNNNNNNNNNNNNNNNNNNNNNNNNNNNNNNNNNNNNNNNNNNNNNNNNNNNNNNNNNNNNNNNNNNNNNNNNNNNNNNNNNNNNNNNNNNNNNNNNNNNNNNNNNNNNNNNNNNNNNNNNNNNNNNNNNNNNNNNNNNNNNNNNNNNNNNNNNNNNNNNNNNNNNNNNNNNNNNNNNNNNNNNNNNNNNNNNNNNNNNNNNNNNNNNNNNNNNNNNNNNNNNNNNNNNNNNNNNNNNNNNNNNNNNNNNNNNNNNNNNNNNNNNNNNNNNNNNNNNNNNNNNNNNNNNNNNNNNNNNNNNNNNNNNNNNNNNNNNNNNNNNNNNNNNNNNNNNNNNNNNNNNNNNNNNNNNNNNNNNNNNNNNNNNNNNNNNNNNNNNNNNNNNNNNNNNNNNNNNNNNNNNNNNNNNNNNNNNNNNNNNNNNNNNNNNNNNNNNNNNNNNNNNNNNNNNNNNNNNNNNNNNNNNNNNNNNNNNNNNNNNNNNNNNNNNNNNNNNNNNNNNNACCUUAAAUGCGCAAUCACUCGGACAAUGAUAUUGCACGACAUUAGCUACGUAAUUAAACAAUUAAAAAUCAUUAAUACACAAUUUCAUUAAAAUAUUUCCAUUUAUGCCUAAACUUCACCUAAAUUCUAAUUUAAUCCCUUAUCAAUACUAAUUUUAUUUUUCCAAUCUAACUCCAUAUUCUCUCUUAAUUCUUACUAUAAAUUCACUUUAACUCUUCAUUUUCACCAUAAAUCCAUAAUUUCGAAAUUCUCUCAAUUUAGUCCCUAUUAAUUCAAAGCCUAUAAUUUAUUUUACAAAUCAACCUUUUACUAACUUCUAACUUGAAAUUUAAUCAAUUUAACCCUUAAUCCUUUCAUUUAUUCAACAUAAUCAAUGUCUAGAAAUAUAAUAACUUCCAAAAUUUCAACAUAAAUCCAAUAAUACUUUGUUCUAGGACACCACACACUCAAAAAUUAUAAGAAAAUGACUUAAUUUAACUUACCAAGUGAGUUUGGAAUCUUAAAAUCCCAAAUUUUCUUCCUUUCCUUCCCUUUUUCUUUUUUCUUUCCUUUUCUCCCCUGUUUUCGUUUGCCUAUUCUGUUUCCAUUUCUCUUUUUCUAUCUUUUAUUUCUUUUAUUUAAUUAGGUUUAAAUAUAAUAACAAUAAAAAUAAUAAUAUGAAUAUUACUUACUUAAAUAAUAAGUAAAUAUGUAAUCAUUACUAAUAUAUGUACUUCAUUUUUUCCGCAUAGUCACCUAUAACUAUUUAGUUGUCAACAAUUUUUAUUUAUUUAAAAUAUAAUAAUAUAAUAUAAUAAAUAUAAUUUACAAUAUAAUAAAAUAAUAAUUUACUUUAAAAAAAAUCUCACAUUUUAUCAUGCAUAUGCCGCCUCAUUUAUGGGACUUGGCAUAUUUACCUAUUUAGUCCUUUUAACUUUUCUUUAAUCUAUAAUUAAACUUUUACCCCUGUUGCAAUUUAGUCCUUUUUAAUCAAUUAACCAUCGGAACAUUAAAAUUUCUUAACGAAACUUUAAUACUACCUUAAUGACACUCCGUAAAUAUUUAUAAAAAUAUUUACGACUUAGUUUAUAAUAUCUAAGUCUCGAUACCUCAUUUUUGACCCAAUUACCUAAUAAUUUCUUUUAAAUCACAAAAUUCACUAAUUCUAAAAUAUUUCUAAAAUCACACUUAACUUAUAAUUAUUAAUUAAUAAAUUUUUCUAACUUUUUCAUCAAAUUUAGUGAUCUUAAAUCAUUAUUCUGACACUACUGAAAAUUGAGCUGUUACAAAAGGAGAUGAUUGAAAUCAUGGAUUAUAAAGAGCCAGGGCCCAAUACGAACCCCAGAAGUAGUUACAUAUUCGGCCCUCCUCCCCAACCACAACCUUAGCCUUUAUUAUGUAUGUUUGAAUGUAUUGCAGAAGCAAACCAUUGAGAUGGUUUUACAACUUAGGAUUAGACAAUGUAUGUUCUAUGUUACAUGAAAAUGACACCUUGGUCUUUUAUUACAGUAAAUGUUAUGUGUGCUUGAUUGCAAGAACCCAAUAAUCUAUUGACUUGUAAUUGCAAUUAUUACUCCUGAUUGGUUUGAAUUCUGUCUAAGAGAUGUCACUGUUGAACAACCAUUGACAUCACAAAGAUAGUUUAACUAUGAGUCAUUCCUCGGUCCAGCCAAGUUUAGAUAAAAUGUAAACUUUAAAAUUUAUUUAUAUAUAUAUAUAUAUAAGUUCAUUUAGUGAUUAAUUUUAGCAUUAAAAUUUAAUGGUUUAACUAAAAUUUUCAUAAAUAAUUACUGAAUGAAUUCUUUUAUAUAAUAUUUAACAAUUAUAUAUUUUAAAAAUUUAAACAGUUAUAAUAUAUAUUUGAUGUUUAUAUUAUGUUAUCAUAUAUUCAAUUUUUAUGUAAAUAAAUUACAUAAAAGCAUUAGAAAAUAGAUCUCACUUGAAGGGAAACUGAAGCGACAUAAUUUUUUUGGUUUAAAUUCAUAUUUUUAGUAUAAAUUUUUAUUCCUCAAAUAUUGAACAGACAAUUUUAUAUAACUACAGUUUGGCAAUGAAAGACUGCUUUGAAAUUUAGUGUUACCAUAUAACUUUGGACUUGAAAAGAGAAAUAAAGGAUGUGAAGAUUGGAAUUUAAAACAUACGAUUAUAUCACUUAAAAUUUAAAUAAUAUAAAUGAAAAGAAACUAACAGUAGUACAAUAUUUUAAAUUAUCUUCUAAAUAUUUAUAGACGAUCCAUGAGACCAAAAAGGUUGGAAGAAUAGGUUAUAAAAUUAUCUCCCACUUUCACUCCACGGCCUAACUUCUUUUAUUUAUUUCUUAUUACUCGCUCGGAGUCAAUAUUUGCAUAUACCAACAGCGCAAGCAAAUACUUUAUUUUGCAUAUUACAUUUUCCUCUAAUCAUCAUGUUAAAAUUUUUAUUUCUUUCCGAUUCGAUUUUAUCCAUCAAUAGAUUUAUAAAUUUGUCGAGGAAACAUUCCAAAAAAUCUUUGAAGUAUCUACAUUUAGAAUCGAUAGUUUUUUAUCUUGUCUUCGAAUUGAGUCGAAGUUUUAUAUCUUGUUGAAUCAAAACUGGUGUCCAUUUGUCAUCGGACGUAGGGUUUAAAUCCAAGCCUUAAAUGGUAUUAAUGGGCAUAUGUGCUACCACUUUUACACGUUGGAAUGUCACUUUAUAACCUCACCUCAACUCGAGGGGGAGGCAAUUGUUCUAGAUGCCUCGCCAUCUAGGCUUUUCCACCACAAUGUCGACUUACAACAACCUCAAGCACCUUGAUCUCGUCAAGAGCAACACUUUGCCAGGGUAAAACUUUGAGAACUCACAUGCGUAACACAUGGAAACUCCUUUGAUCAACUUCAUAAGGAUAGGUGUUGAGAGUUUUCUCUUACAUGGCUCACACGUGGAGCCUCAUCUAUCAGAUCUCCAUCCCAUCAUUGCCUAUUUAGAAGGCUACCAUGCUUCUCAAGUGGUCGACCAUAAUGAGACUUGUGCCAUAAACGUGCCAAGGCCCCUUCUCUAUUCUUGAGAAAACACCUCUCUCUCUUUCUACUUGACUACUUUACUAAAAAUAUCAUAAAUUUUUCUUUAGAGUUCUUUGCACACUAUUGUGUGAACCGUGAUUCAAAUAUCUUACUAUUGUCUUUUGAACACAGUUAAAUUAGAAAUUUCAUAAAAUUUUAAAAUUAGAGUAAACAGCCCCAAUGAAGGGCCAGGAAAGGGGCGUUGACAUGGUUCCUAGGUAUCAAUUUUAAAAUUUUUAAAAAAAUUGUUAAUAUGAUUUCACUGUAAAAUAAUAAUCCCAGAACAAGUCAAUUGGUAGUGGAAAAGGGAAAAAGUAAUAAACCGCCUACAAUAUUUCAUAAUCACUUCCAAGAAAUUUGAUUAUCCUAAGUAAACAAACAAAAAGUCCAUUCACAAAGCCCUUUUCCAACAACAUAGCCGGCUGCAGGUUCCAAGCAAGAAACGACACACAUUCCAUGUAAAAUAAAAGACACGACAAAAAGGUAGCCAAGGCCGAACCCCAUACCAAGUUUCCUAGGUGGUCUCUUGGUUGCACCAUAGGCAACUUCCCCUUCUCUUAACCGCCCUUUGAAAACUUGACCAGGUCUAACAUCUCUGUGCCUUCAAAUACCCCGUUCCCAACCUCACCAUUUCAUCAAAAUUCAUUCAUUCUUUUUACUCUUUCUUUUACAUAUUUGUAAAUCAAAAUAGUUUUAGUUUUUUGGUCUUACUCUUACAUAAUGGAGACAUCAUCACUAAACUCAAACUAUACCCUUUUUCCAUUGAUUGAUAUCAGUAUGAUCUUGUUGUUUCUUAGCUUGACAUGUCAUGACAGGUUUAGGAGUUUCAUCUCCAGAUAUUAUUGGUCUUUCCCACAAUCCAAACAUGGCAGCUCAAAGACAUCAUCCUCAAGUCGGGAGAAAACCCAGAAUUAUGAGUGCCUAAGCAAAGAGGCUUCAUUUAAUAAUAAUAAGGAAGAUUGUGCGAUAGUUUGCAGAAAAGAUGUGGAGAAGUUUAUGGGAAAUCUGGGAAUUUUUUGCAGCCUAGAAAGUGAGGAGCUACAGGAAUCCUAUGGUUCUGAUGAGCUUUCCAGGCUGUUUGAGGAAGAAGAGCCAAGCUUGAAAGAGUUGAAGGAGGCUUUUGAUGUCUUUGAUGUGAACAGAGAUGGGUUUAUUGAUGCACAAGAGCUGCAGAGAGUUCUCUGUAUUUUGGGUUUGAAGGAAGGUUUAAAAGUGGAUAAUUGCAACAAAAUGAUCGAAAACUUCGAUGAAAAUAGAGAUGGAAGAAUAGAUUUUCAGGAAUUUGUAAAAUUCAUGGAGCACAGUUUUUGCUGAAUCAGUAUAAUAAUAUUCAGAUACACUGAUUAUUUUACUUACAUUUCUUGCUAUGUGGUUUAUUUGAUUUUUUUCAGUUUUCAUUUCUUUUGGUUUCAAUUGUGCUUAUGAAUUUUUAGACUGACAAGUGAAACAAAUAUCCCGAAUCAAAAUCUCAUGUAUUUGAAGAGUACUUGAAAAAUUCUAUACUUAUAUCAUAUGUAAAUAUUUAUCAAACAUGAAUACUUUAAAAAAUGAAAAGUAGAAAGAUGUUGAGUAAUGAGUAUAUACCAAAAAAAAAAAAAAAAAAAAAACCUCUGAACUCAUUCUUUCUACAGAAAGCAACUAUAAGUGACAAUGAAAAGGAAGCCAACAGAUGAAGGUUCUAAAAAGUUUAGAGAAUAAAUUUGUUUCCAGAAGCAAGAAUUGAAAUCCGUCAGAGGAAGGAACACUUUGCAUCUCACUUAGUUUGGCAUAUGGUAAAAGGCCGCUUUUCGAUCUCUAGUUCCUGAAAUAUGGGAAUAAUUGUUGAUUCUUGGACUCAUACAUGUACUUGAACGUCAGCUAAGAGGACCAUGGCCUUAAAGAUAUAACCGCACAGGUAGGACUGGCGCAUUAGUUAACUGGAUAUAAAGCCUGACAUUGGAAUCAAUGACCUAAAGAAAAUAAAUCUAUUCAUAAGUUAGUUAAUUAUAAAUUAUAAUAAAGGCAUGCUCUAAAACAGUUUUAAGAUCAUCCAUUGAGAUACUUACAGGGAUCCAGGUAAAAAGAAUGAGAGUCAACGAUCCCUGGCUGUCUUGGAGAUAGGAGUGGAGUCUUUGUCCUGUAAGCUAUAGGACAUACAAAUUUUGUUCUCCAUCCAUCCAAGAGUAAUGGUCAGUGAAUCUAUUACCAGUAAUCUGCACAUGAACAGCAUCCAUUUUGAAAACUGUGGAAGCGAUUUGCAUCUCUCACGAUGAUCAUACUGUUUGUGAGCUUAGAAAUAAGUUUUGCAGCUGAGUGGCAAUCUUCACACAUUCUAAGGUUUUUAAACACACGAAUAGGUGCCUCUAAGGGAGCAUGCAUGAGUCCAUAUGCAAUGGCCAGUUUCUCGCUGUGAUAACUAAGAUAGUCUUCCUUCUGCUCUUCCUCCACAUCAUGCAACACUGCAGUAACAUCUGGUAUAUAUCCCAGUGGCUUAAUCCUGGCUAAAAGUUCUUUUACUUUCUCAUAAAUUUGAGUUGACUCUGGGUGUUGACAGUCAUCCGAAACAAAAACAUGGGUAACAUUUCUUAUCUCUAUCCAGCUUACACCAGGUUCUUUCUUGAUAUUUCUCUCUCUCAUCAAUUUUCGGAUCUUCACUACUCCAUCCCACCUCUUUGCCUUUGCAUAAAUAUUAGAUAAUAGUGUAUAUGUUCCCACAUCAUUAGGGUCCAUCUCUAACACAAAUUCUGCUAUACGCCUCCCAAAACCAUAAUUCCGAUGUACAUGACAGGCACUGAGCAAUGUACGCCAAGCAAUGACAUCCAAUUCUACUGGUAUAGACCUCAAAAGUUUCUCAGCCUCAUCAAGAAGUCCAGCCUUGCUCAGCAGCCCAACAACACAGGUGUAGUGCUCCAACCCGGGUUCUACUCCAACCUGUCUCAUGAAUUGGUUCAAGUAGUAUAAACCUUCUUUUACUAGACCAAGAUGGCUACAAGCAGAAAGAACCCCCACAAAGGUAACAUAGUUAGGACAUUCUCCUGCAGCCAACAAGUCAUUAAACAAAGCCAUAGCCUCCUUUCCUAGCCCAUGAUGAGAAUACCCGCAUAUCAUGGCAUUCCAAGUAAUGCAGUCUCGAUACAUCAUAUCUAAAAAAACUUUACUUGCUGCUUCAAUGUCACCACACUUCGCAUACAUGUUGAUCAAAGCAUUUCCAACGAUAACAUGGUCCUUAAAACCUGACUUUACAAUUUCUCCAUAUAGUACGUUUCCAUGUCUUAGUGCGGACAAUCCUGCAGUAGAGUUUAACAUAACCGCAAAAGUAAACCCAUUAGGUGAAACAUCACCAAUUUUCAUCUCAGAAAACAGAUUUAGUGCUUCCUCAAAGCAUCCAUUUUGAAAGUAUGCAGCCAUGAUUCCAGUCCAUACAACUACAUUUUUAACUUGGAGACAAUCAAAAGUUUUCCUGGCAUUGAUAACCUUGCCGCAUUUCCCAUACAUAUUAAUGAUUGCACUAUUAACAAAAACAUCCAACUCCACAUCACUUGUCAAAAUCCUACAAUGCACUUGCAAGCCCAACUUUAAAUCCUUAAGACAAGCACAAAGUCCAAAGACAGUAACAUAAGUUACACUAUCCCACUCUACACUCUCUCCCAUCAGCCUUUCCAAAACUUGAAUUGCUUCAUUCGAGAACCCUUGUUGCACGAGUCCAUUUAGAACUAAAUUAUAUGAAUAAACAUCAUAACCAGGCACUAAACUAAAAACCCUCAUAGCUCCUUUAACAUCAGAAAACUUUGAAUACAUAUUUAUCAAUGCAUUCUUAACAUAUUGAUGAAAAACCAACCCGGACUUGACCACAUAACCGUGACACUGUCUACCCUCUAAAGCCUUCCCACCGUCAGAACAAGCUGAAAAAACAACCGCGAAAAUAUACUCAUUAGGCCUCAAACUAUCCACCAAAGUCAUAUCUUUGAACAACUUUAACACUUGCAAUGAAAACCCGGUUUGCAAAUAUCCUGCCAUGAGGGAACACCAAGAAACCAAGUUUCUCUCAGGCAUUCUAUCGAACAGUUUCUGGGCAACCGAAAUUUGGUUACUUUUGGCGUAGACAUUGAUUAAGGAGUUUAAUGGGUAUCUGUUAGAUCGAGUGGAGGUUUGAUUGGUUACUAGUAAAAGGGAAUGGAGUAUUUUGGCUAAUAUUAAGUUGUUUGUAUCAGCUGAAACUUUUAGGAGCUUAAUUAUGUGGUUAAGGUGUAUAAAGGUUGUUGGUUUGAAUAAAACUUGCGCCACUUGGUUACCUGCUGGUUUUAGAGCGCGCAUUUUCUUUUGGCUGGGUUUCUUCUUAAACAGCUCCACUGUCUUUUGUUACCAUCCCCGGAUCUUUUGUGAUUAAUUUUGAGGUGUUCAUGAUUUCUUUUUUAAAAUUCUAGCUUAGGAUCCUUUCAAUAUAUAUAUAUAUAUAUAAAUAUCAAAUUAUUUGUUCCACUCAAUAAAUUUACCCUCUACUAGCCCCGCAUCACACCACUUUUCUUGUUUUCCAAAUGAAAUUACUAUUUCCUGAUUCACCACAAUUCCUUUUACCUUUUUAUUUUUAAAUUUCCAAAUGAAAUAUACACUUUUAAUGAACUGAAAAAACUCUAAAAAUUAUCUUUUUUUUUCUUUAACACGUUUGCUUUUUAUCUUUGAGUUAGCUAUCGUCCUCCUUUUUCCUUUCCCAUCAACCUUUUCUUUCUUCCUUCUUCUCAGUCACAACACGUCUUAUCUAUUUUAAGUUUGUAAAUUUAUUUUGCGGGUAUCUUUAUUGUCGUCACAAGUUGUGAUGGACAGACGACGGUCCUGUCAUUCGUUAAAAUUCCACCGGCCACCAGUAGUUUUUCUUGGAAAGCGGGUGGCUCUUCGUCAACUUCUUAACCUAUUUCUGUUUUGAGAGUAUUUUAAAAUAAUAAAUGAUUUCAAGUGUCAAUUUCAACCGGUGUUGUCUUAAGUUAUAUAUAUAUAUAUUUGUUUGUUUUUCUAUUGUUUAAUAAGUCUUCAGUUUUAGAAGUUUUUGUAUGCUCUUGUAGCACGUUUUUUAGUUUUACUUAUGCAUGUAAUCUUAGUUUUACAAGUGAUUUUAGGGAUGAUUUUGUUAUCGUCCUCUCUAGUUUGGCGAAUGCUCAAUUUUUGUUCGUCACUUUGAACCAUUCGGGGUUGAUUUCCUUAUCAUAUUAAGUGUUUGCAAUCACUCCAGAUAUGUCGUGCUUCAGUUGUGAUAAAGCCAAUUGUCAACGUGUCAUAAUGUUCUAUUAAUGCUGAGGCUAAAGCCUUUAUUGUGUUGGUGGCGCUUGUCCUUAACCAUCUAUGAUGAGUGUUUGCUAUUUUUUCUCUAAAUCGUAUCGUUCUAUUUAUUGAAUGGAUUGCGAAUUUACCUUUCAACAUAUUUGUGAUUAUAUAAAAAAAAUACAUGAUUAAUUAUUUUUAAUUCAUCUAAUAAAAAAUAAUUAAAUAUUUUAUAAUAUGAUAUUAUUUAUCUAUAAAUUUCAAUAGUUUAAAUUAUGGAUAGAUACCAAAAUUACAUAAGAACUUAAGUUCAAUGUGCAAUGUAAUUUUGAUUUUGUACAGUUUUAUACAACAUGUUAAUUUGAUUCAGUCUUCAUAAAUAACUAACAUAAUUAUCGAUAUACUAUCAUUUUACGUUUGUAUAUUACAUACACAAAUAAUUAUAUUUAUCUAAUAUAUAUAAAAAUAAAUUGAUGUAUUCAUUUCAUUAAAUGUUGAUCAAAAUCAAAGUUUUAUGUGUACAUUUGAAUCAAAAUUAAAGUGCAAUGUAUAUAAUUGCACAAAAUCAAACUUCAUGUAUCAAUUUGCACAUUAGAUAAAUUAAAAUUGAUGCAUAAUUUUGAUAUUAAUAAAAUAAUACUUUCUAUUCCUAAGUGAAAUAGCUAUUGAGAUUAUAUCAUGUAACUGUGUUAUACAGAAAAUAAUAUGUAUUAAACAAAUUUAAAUUCCUAUACAAAUUACAAUUAAAUUAUAUUCAAACGAAUGAAAAUUCCAAUUUUCGAAAACAAAUAAUAUAAAUUCUAUUCUUAAAUUUUGGUUAAUUUAAAUUAUUAAAAAGAGUAAAUAAAAAUUUAAAUUUAAAUUAUAAAUAUAAUAAAAUUACCUCAUCGUCAAUUAAAUGAUCUAUCAUCUCUCCCUAAUAUAAUUUUCAUUCAAAUAUGAUUUAAUAUUUAUUUUUCGAAAAACUAUAUAGUUAAUUAGAGGUGGCAAUCAAGCUGUUCAUGUCAAGUUGUUUCAAGUUUGAAUUAUUUUAAGUUUAAUCUCCGAAUACGAUUUAGAUUUAGUUUUAUGUUACAUUUGAUUUUUUUUUUUGGUGAAAAAGACAAACAACUCAUAUUAAACAGUCAUAAAAAAAAUUUGAAAUUCUAGUAAUCACUACCAUCUUUUAUGGAAUUUUUGGAAAUACUUGAAGAGUUGAAUUUCUCUUUCAAGCUAUUUUUGCAAGACUAUCUGCAAUUUGAUUUCUCUUUUGGUUUAUAUGCUUGAUUUCCCAUUGUUCUAUAACUUGUAAAUGGAUUCUUCUAACCAAGAUCGAAGUUAACUCAAUCAUAUGGAUGCCUUGAAAAAUUUUGAUUACCUCCAAAUUGUUUGUGUGAAUGAAAAUCUUCUUAUAUCCCUCCUUUUAAACAAAUGUUAAGCCAUCUACAAUUCCCUACAGUUCAGCAUCAAAGACUGAGCAUAAACCCAAAUACCGAUUAUAUCCAGCGAUUCAUUGACCAUCUUAUUUGUACACUACCCCUCCAACAACAACUCACCUCGCAUUCAACUUUACAACCCCAUCAUUUGAUAUAUUAUUUGAUAAUAUAUUGUCGAAACUAUUUUUUAAAAACAAAAAUUUGGUCAUCGACUUAAAAAUGAAAAUUGGAGUCGCCACCGAUCUUUUAUUGAAGUGUGAUCGGAUCACCUUGAAAACGAUUUUGGUCUACGAAUUUCAGAAAAAUGAGUUCGUGAGUCAAUUACAUACGAGGAAGGGUUAGCACCCUCUUAAUGCCCAAAAUUAGUACCUAAUUGAUUAUUUAACGUCUUGAGGUUGAAUGUCGAAAAAGGUUAAAGUGCGAUUCCCCUUUUAAAAUCUUUAUUGAAAUUUAUUAUUUUGAAAACUAAAAAAUUUAGCCAUCUUGCUUCAAUGAAGAAAUCAAAACCCCGUAAGUUAGGGCAUGAUUCUUUGAAGUUCCUAUGACAACACACGAAUUUGCUUUUAUCAAAAAUCUCGUCUCAAGAUAACAAAAUGUUAGGCCCAGUGAGUUAGGAUAUAACAUUUCGAAUUCUCGAGAUAAGCUUUGAUUUGAAAUUUUUACGUUUGGAUUGAAAAAAAUGAUACCCGGGUACUUAAAUUCAACGAGGAAAAUUGAAGCCCAGUAAGUUAGGGCACAAUUCUCUUUGAAAAUCUAAGAUACCGAGUAUUGCCUUAUUUUAUAAAUCCUUGAAUGAAAAAAAGUAAGGUGAUUAAAUGACAAUAUGCAACGCAAAAGGAUAACUUGUAAAUAAAUCACACAUUAAUCAAAUGAGCGGAAGUUAUAUACAAGCAAGUAAUACACAUAGCAACAAUAAUCUCAUGUAAAUACCCACAUUGGCUGAUAAGAGAAAACUAACUAAAAUCAAGUAAUUUUAUAUAAACACUAACGAAAUAUACAAAUUUAAAUAUAAUUUAAGAAAUAAAUAUAAUAUAUAAAUUAAAAUAUUAAAAUAAAUUUAAAUAAAUUAACAAUAUUGAAAUGAGUUGAAAUAAGUUAAAGAUGUUAAAAUAUUUGAAAGAGAUAAAAUAUCUAUAUAAUAAUACGAAACUAACAAUAGAUUAUGUACGUAUGUAUGUACAAUCAAAAUAGUUUAAUAUAAAUUAUGUAUAUAAAAAAGAUUUUAAUAUAUAUAUACAUUUAAAAGAAAACUCACAAUUAAUAAUUAUUAUAAUAUGAAAACAAUAAUAGAUAUAAAGUAAACAUAAUUCAAUGUAAAUUAUAUAUGCAUAUAUAUAAAAUAGUAGAUUAUAUAAAAAAAAAGUAGAUUAAUAUUAAACCAAUUAAUUUAAUUAAAACUAAUAGAAAGAAAGGACUAAUUUGCAAUUAAAACAACAAUUUAAGGGGAAAAUAUAAAGUAAAUAAAACGGAAAUGGACCAAAUGGAACACGCGAAUAACAGUGGAGGACCAAAAGGAAAAUUAAUCGCGUCUUCCUGAACGCUGUGUUUAGUACAGAUCGAAUUGAAACAAAAAUAAAACAUUUAACAAAAUUUAAAAGAAAUAAAAAUUUUGAUUUAAACAUACUGUGAAAAACAGGGGGACCAAUUGCGCAAAUUUCCCAUUUAGGGCAAGAACGUGCAGACCCUGCUUGCGGGUCGGGUCAAUGCGCAGAUCCUACCAUCACCAAAUGGCUCCGUUUUGCUUAUAUUAUUAAAACCAAAAUUUCCUUAAAAAACAUUUUUAUUUCAUUUUCAGAAAACAAAGCAGAGGGGAGGGGGUUUUCUCUGCUAGGGUUUUGACCUUAGCACCUCCACACCGCCGCCGUCAUGCCCACCGUGAAGCCACCACGACCGGCGCUCGGCACCAGGUAAAGCGCUUUUUCCUUUUUAUUAUUUUUUCUUUUUAAAAAAAAGAAACAUGGAUAAAAACCGGAGAAGAAAACUCGAAGAGGAAAGAAAAAAACCAAAUCACCUUCAAAUUCUUUUUGCUUUUUAUUUUCUCAGAUCUUUGUAUUUUUGUUUACACUAAUUUCUUUCUUCCUUUUUGAUUCAAUCUGCCUCCCUUUUACAAAAAAGAAAAACCCUUUUAUCACUUUGUCAUCUUUCUAUUAUGCUAACGUGCCUGCGGUUUGUGGUUUGUUGCUGGAAGAUCGUGCAUGGUGUGAGGGCGACGUGCUGCGAUGUUCGCGGAGGCGUGCGAGGGAGCCGUGCGGCACGCCCUAAGGUUUCUUCCUCCUUUGCGGAAAACAUGUUAUGGGCCUAUUGGGCUAGGGUUUCUGCUGUUUGGGCUAAGUAUUUGGGCCAUUUGUACUGGGUCAUUGGGUUUGCAAUUUUGGGUUAAUGUAAUUUAGACUUUUAAAAUUUGGUUUUAAUUGAAUUUGGUAUUUAGUUUUAUUUAUUUAUGUAUGGGCCCGGGCAAAAAUUGGGCUUUACAUCUGCCCCUCUUUGCUUGUUGACGUGUAACAGGAACGAAGCAAAGACUUUAAAAUGGCCAAUUUUGUCCGGUCGUGCUGGACCUUGGUGCUCUUCUUCUUCUUCAAAUAGCCUCAUUCCUUCCUACUGCAUCUUCGGAGGUAUAGGAACUGGUGCUUCAAUCUCCACCAUAACAUUUAGAGAAAUAGGGUUUGUAAUUCUUCGGGGGAACAUUUGCUAUCUUCAGUCAGCUCCUCUGCAACUUAAAGGAGAUAAGAUUUGUAGCUUCAACUUGUUCCAUUAAAGUUUGAUAAUAUUUGCUCUACUGUAAUUCAUAGAGAUAAAAUCUGUGAUUUUAAUCUGCUCCACUGCAACAUCAGGGAGAUAGGAUUGGUUUCUUCAAUCUGUUUAACUGCAAUGUUAGGGAAACAAGAUUCGCCGUCGUAGCUUCAAUCUAUUCCACUGCACCGCCAGGAAAGUAAGAUUCACCGUUGUGACUUCAAUCUAUUUAACUGCAAUGUCGGAGAAACAAGAUUCAUCUUCGUAGCUUCAAUCUGUUCUACUACACCGCCAAGGAAGUAAGAUUCGCCGUUGUAGCUUCAAUCUAUUUAACUGCAAUGUCGGGGAAACAAGAUUCGCCGUCGUAGCUUCAAUCUGUUCCACUACACCGCCAGGGAAGUAAGAUUCGCCGUUGUAGCUUCAAUUUGUUUAACUGUAAUGCCAAAGAGAUAGGAUUCGUUGCCCAUAGCUUUAAUCCGCUCCACUUCAGCUAAUCCAAGUUUUAACACCAAGGAGAUAAGAUUCACUGCCCUCAGCUUUAAUCUGCUCCGCUGCAACGCCAGGGACACAAGAUUCGCUAUCUUUAGCUUUAAUUUGUAACGUUAAGGUGAUAAGACUGGUGUCUUCGAUCUGCUUUGCUGUCAGUACAGGAAGGCAAGAUCUGCUAUUUUCAACCUACUCCACUGCUACUCAGGGAGACAAGGUUGGUAUCUUCGAUCUACUUCGCUGCCAAUACAGGAAGACAAGAUCUGCUAUUUUCAACCUACUCCACUGCUACUCAGGGAGAUAAGGCUGAGGUCUCACCGGCUUGUUCUCUAGGGAACAUGACCUGUAUAAUUCAAUUUAUGAACCUAAUUAUGCCUAGUGAUUAGGAUGUCAUGAUCAGGAUGAAUCAAAUGCUCCUAACUAGACGUGUAUGAAUGACAUUUGAAUGAAUGUAGAAUAUUAUUUUUUCGAGGAUGAUCUCGCUUAGGUUGUCAUUACUCAAAGUUUAUUAAGAUUUUAUCACUGAUGUGCUACGUCUUCUUCUAGGCUGGCAUCUCCAAAGAAACACUUGAUCAGAUUGCCCCCACUGUAAACUUCAAAGUUCAAUCUACUGGGAUGCAAAAUUUGUACCAUCUUUCUCCCGCUGUAACCCAAGGGUAGAAAAAUCUGGCAUUUUCUCAAUCCUCUCCUAUCGCAAUUCAAUGAUACAGAAUGUGAAACUCUUUGGUAUUUUAUACCAAUUUCAGGGUGUCAUACCAAAUGCCUAUGCACAAAUGAAGGAUUCUCUUCUCCAAGGAAAUCCAUUUUUAUUGUUUGGUGAUUAUUGCUUGCUUGUUCAUCUAAUCCUUGCCACCAACCUAUCAUCUUGUCAUUUUGUUCAAUCAAUGUUUUUGACAACAAAAUCCAAAAAAGAAAGUCCUAAUUUAGACUCUUCCUUCUCAGAUUUCCAACCUUUAAACUUGGUGCGUUCUAAACAAUAGUCCUGUUUUAGGUUACUGUAUUAUCUAGAAACUUUUAGAGUAAUAUGCAAAACUUCCUUUGUGAAAGUUUUAUUGGUCCAUUAAUCAUUAUUCCAAUGCAACUUACUUGCAAAAUGUCAUAAAAAUGAUAAAAAUAGAAUUGAUUUGGGAGCAUGGCUCGAAAUGAAUAGAAUAUCAAUGACAGUAGAAAUAAAAGAAGAAUGGAUUGGGAACACAUAUCUUGAAAAAGAAUGAAGUAUUCCAAGAACAAGCAAUUCAAUAUAAAUAGUAUGAAAACCAGGUGCCCUAGAUAUCGCAGCUUGAAUUUCUCUGUACAAACUUGCUGAAGACCAUUCUAAGUUUGACUUGUGUUUAGGAGAUCUACAGUACUCUGUUGAUGUCCCAAGAUGUUGCAUACCCUUUCCUGCUAAUUCAGGUAUAUCAAGACCACUAUAUGCCCCAUUCUGAUCAAAAUCUGAGUUAUUCUGAUCACUUCCUGCCAUAUUCUGAUCAAAAUUUGAGCCGUUAUUUUCGGGUUUUCAACUCAAAUCCCCUUUGGUCUAAGGCGCAUUUUGCGGGUUUUCACCUUAGCCUCUCCAUUUUUACUUUUUCCAUUUUUCAUUAUUCUUUUUCAUUUUUUCAUUUCAUUUAUUUUUUUUACGACUCAAAGUGCCAUUUGCGGGUUUUUACCUUGGUCCUCUCCUUCUUUAAGCGAAGUAUUUCUUGACUGAAUCUGAGUUUAUAGGAUUAGACAAGUUUUUUACUAUCCAUAUCACUCAAGAUUAGUGCUCCUCCGGAAAAGGUCUUCUUUACAACAUAAGGACCUUCCUAAUUUGGCACGCAUUUUUCUCUAAAAUCCUUUUGUAGAGGAAGGAUCUUUUUCAAUACCAGGUCUCCCUCGUGGAAUUCUCUGGAACGAACCUUUUUGUUGUAAGCUCGCAUCAUCCAUUUUUGGUACAUCUGACCGUGACGAAUAACUUUUAGUCUUUUUCCUUCAAUUAGGUUCAACUGAUCGUAUCAAGAUUGGAUCUUCAUCCUACUUCAGCUCAGCCAAUACCCGGAGAGAAAAAAUUUCAACUUCAAAGGAAAAACCGUGAUAAGCUAAAGAGAAAGGCAUUGCCCUAGUAGAGGUUUUUGUUUCUUUUUUUUGUUUUUUGUUCUUCUUUUGUUCUUUUUUUCUUUUGGAUUGAAUCUGCACUUAUAGGAUUAGGCAAGUCCUGGACAUGCCUUUCGAUCAGAAUCAAUGUUAUUCCAGAUAAAGUCUUACACAUAAAAUCUUCCACUUUAAUUUUGUAUGCAAAAAAUCUUCUUUGGUAUCAGGUUUCUCUCAUAGAGCAUUUUGGGGCGAAAUUUAAUUAUGACAAAAAAAUUUAGAUAUUCCUCUUCAAUUAGGAUGAAAUCCAACAAAGAUACGGAGAAAUGAUAACUUGACUUCAACGGGCAAAACUAUGAUGAGCUAAAAAGAAGGCAUUGCCCCGGCAAAGAAUUCUAACUGCAUCGUUCAUGAUGUUAAUCUUGAACAUACUGCAAAUUUUUUGACGUCGUGCUAUUGCUCAGAUUACAAUAUCAGUGCUUAACCCGAGUAUGUCCUGGUAUGACCAUGCGAAGACAUCUUUGAACCCUUAAGGUAACUCAACAAAGUCUUACUUUGUUUCUCCAGUUAUGCACGUUCCAUUAAGGUCACAAUCUCCAUUAUCUCCUCAGGAGGUAAAAUUUGUUUCUCUUCAUGUUCUACCAUCCUCAACAAGUCCGGAGAUAGGCCACGAUCUAUGUCAUCUUCAAAGUCAUGAGAUCCCUCUAAACACAUGUCUUGCUCAAAAAGAGAUUCUAAAUCUGUAGCAGUGUCACUCAUGACAUUGAUAUCUAGGGACCUAUUAUAGGUACAAAAGAAUAUACAAAGAAUGUAUGAAUUUAUGAAUAGUUAUUGUAUAGUAUGAUUAUGAAUGAAUGAAUGAAUGAUUUGGAAGAAAAUCUAAAAGAAUGAAAGAAUCUAGAAUUAUUCGUAAGGAAUGAAAAUAUUGGCUCAAAAUAAUCACAAUGAUGUAUUUUAUUAAAGUAAUAACAUUCAGACAUGAGCAUAUUUCACAAAGGUGUUCUUAUCACUUCUAGGCUAAAAGCAAUAAGAGUGUUCUUAAUAUUACUCUGAGUAAGCUCUAAAAAUUACAGGAAUUUCCUCCGCAGUCCCAUUAUUUAGAACAUCUCCAAGUUGAUAAGGGUGAAUAUCUACAAGGACCCUUUUAAAUUGUGUCUUCAUAUAUGGCAUUGAUAUGAACAUUUCCCAACACUUCUUCAUACAUUGCAUUCACUCCAUUAUCAAUCAUGAUUGGGUAGCGGAUCAAAUUUGGCAACGCCUAUAUUAAUGAGUCUUUCAACUAUCUUUUUGAAUGCGGUGUAAUUUUCUAUCGAAUACCCCGCAAUUCCUGUAUGGUAUUCACACCGAGCAUUUGUAUUAUACCAUUUAGGAAAUGGGGGCAACAUUGGUUUCAAAUAGAACGGGGACACCACAUGUGCAUUAAAUAGGCUUUGAUAUAGCUCGCUAUAUGACAUCGGUAUAGGCGUGAGCUGAGGCCCUUCUGUAUUUGUCUUCAUGGAAGAUUCUCGCUUUAAAGGGCUCUGAUAGCUAGUAGUAACCGUCUUUAGCUGGCUUGCGGUAAUCAACUUUGAAUAACUCUUGUUAUACCCACUCGUAUUAUUCACCUCAUUUUUCCUUUUCCUUGAGGCCUUUAAAGUAUUGAUUUGGGAGUUCCACUCUCACCCUUUCCGUUUGUAACGAUCUUCAAAUUAUUUUGGGAACUCCACCCUCGCCUAUUCUGUUUUUGCGAGAUCAUUAAUGACAACAGGAUUAGUUAAAUUGCCCAUCGGGCUAGAACUUGAGCCAGUCUAGAAAUUCGCUGGUGUCGACGUGCUGGUCUGAUAUUGGGGUCGGAUGUUAACAAUUACCCUUUGUGGAUUUGCAUUUGGUUGUGCUUGGGUAUUUGUUAGGGUGAAGCCUAGAGGAUAUGUAGGGUCCUCAUUAUCAUCCCCAAAGUGGACCACUGGGCUCUUUUCUCUUUCUAACCCUCUAACCGAUAAUUGGGUUAACUGGCAUAUUAUAUUUCUUUGGAAUUCCAACAACUGAUCCAUCAUAUCUUGUUGAAAUUUGGUCAAUUGCUCAUGCAUCUGUAUUCACAUUUGCUCUAAUUUCUCCAACAUUUGGUCUAUUUCUCUAGUCUUUGCUUGGGUGCCGUAAGGUUGUUGGUUUUCCAAAUUAACUAAAAUAAUUUUACUCAAUUAGGCUCUUUUAAUGAAUUUUAAUGCAUAUGAUGUCAUGUAAUGCAAAUGCAUGAAAUAAAUGCAUAAUAAGACAUUGAUUCUGAUUCAAUUUUAUUUAGAAAACUUCACUAGAAAACAAACUUCUUUACAUAAAACAGAUGCUUGUACGGCAUCGCCUUCAUACUCCAAGAAACAAUGAUCUCUUUCUUCAUCCGGAUGCUUAAGAUAAAUCUCGCAAAUUUCCAAUGAAUACCACUACUAGCUCAUUUUUGCUUAAUCUUGGUUGCAAUCUAUCGUCUGCCCAUCCUCAUAAUACUUAUCAGCUUCUUUAAGGAAGUUGAAAUGUCGACAGCUCUUGAAUAACUAGCUUAAAUCCUUGGGCCACGAAGUAAAGACAUGUACUCCUUUAUCACCCUUUGUUGUGUUUCUUGGAAUAUAUUCGAGCAACUGUAUUAUCUUCCACUUUAUCAAGAAAUUCGUAUUCCAAGACAAGCUCUUUAAUUUAGUAAUCAAACUUGAAUCAACACCUUUUUUCUAAGAUGCAAAUGCAAUGCAAUCAAAGUAAAAACAAAACGAAACAAGUCAGUACAAAACAAAAGCAAUCAAGAAAAAAUAGAGUACCUAUUCGGGUAACCACUAGGGGUUUGGAGUAGUUCUACCUAUGGCAAGUUCCUAAGGUUCACUAUAUGAGGUUUGGCUUCUAGGGCAAAAGUACCCAAACCAGCAGAUUCCUCGAUCCUCACCCGUUAUAGGCUCAUGCGAAUCGAGUUCGGUUCAGAGGAAUACAUUUUCCUAUGGCUACACAGAGAUGAAAAUUUCACGAAUACAUGGUACGGAUGUAUCCCGAAAGCGAUUCACUAUCCUGCACGGAGGUGAAAACCUCACGAAGGACUAGUUUCUCACUCCCACUUAGAGGGGUAAAAUUGAUCAUGAAAUGCAAAAUGCAAAUAAACUAACGGGCUUAGACCAAUUAAGCAAUCAUAGCAUGAUGAAAACCAAUGAAUGCAAAGGGGAAAUCAUGAAUCUUAAAACAAAAUUUGAUUUUUCGACCAAAACACAAAAAUUAAUCAAUUUACGGCUCGACUCUCUAACCAGUCCCCAGCGGAGUCGCCAAGCGGUCGAAACCAUUUCUUGAAAAAAAAUUUGGUCAUCGAUUUAAAAAUAAAAAUUAGAGUCACCACCGAUCUUUUAUUGAAGUGUGAUCGGAUAACCUUGAAAACGAUUUUGGUCUACGAAUUUCAGAAAAAUGAGUUCGGGAGUCAAUUACAUAUGAGGAAGGGUUAGCACCCUAGUAAUGCCCAAAAUUGGUACCUAAUUGAUUAUUUAACGCCUUGAGGUCGAAUGUCGAAAAAGGUUAAAGUGCGAUUCCCCUUUUAAAAUCUUUAUUGAAAUUUAUUAUUUUGAAAACGAAAAAAUUUAGCCAUCUUGCUUCAAUGAAGAAAUCGAAACCCCGUAAGUUAGGGCACGAUUCUUUGAAGUUCCUAUGACAACACACGAAUUUGCUUUUAUCAAAAAUCUCGUCUCGAGAUAACAAAAUGUCAGAACCAGUGAGUUAGGAUAUAACAUUUCGAAUUCUCGAGAUAAGCUUUGAUUUGAAAUUUUUACGUUUGGAUUGAAAAAAAUGAUACCCGGGUACUUAAAUUCAACGAGAAAAAUUGAAGCCCAGUAAGUUAAGGCACAAUUCUCUUUGAAAAUCUAAGAUACCGAGUAUUGCCUUAUUUUAUAAAUCCUUGAAUGAAAAAAAGUAAGGUGAUUAAAUGACAAUAUGCAACGCAAAAGGAUAACUUGUAAAUAAAUCACACAUUAAUCAAAUGAGCGGAAGUUAUAUAUAAGCAAGUAAUACACAUAGCAACAAUAAUCUCAUGUAAAUACCCACAUUGACUAAUAAGAGGAAACUAUCUAAAAUCAAGCAAUUUUAUAUAAACACUAACGAAAUAUACAAAUUUAAAUAUAAUUUAAGAAAUAAAUAUAAUAUAUAAAUUAAAAUAUUAAAAUAAAUUUAAAUAAAUUAACAAUAUUGAAAUGAGUUGAAAUAAAUUAAAGAUGUUAAAAUAUUUGAAAGAGAUAAAAUAUCUAUAUAAUAAUACGAAACUAAAAAUAGAUUAUGUACGUAUGUAUGUACAAUCAAAAUAGUUUAAUAUAAAUUAUGUAUAUAAAAAAGAUUUUAAUAUAUAUAUACAUUUAAAAGAAAACUCACAAUUAAUAAUUAUUAUAAUAUGAAAACAAUAAUAGAUAUAAAGUAAACAUAAUUCAAUGUAAAUUAUAUAUGCAUAUAUAUAUAUAAUAGUAGAUUAUAUAAAAAAAUAUAGUAGAUUAAUAUUAAACCAAUUAAUUUAAUUAAAACUAAUAGAAAGAAAGGACUAAUUUGCAAUUAAAACAAAAAUUUAAGGGGCAAAUAUAAAGUAAAUAAAACGGAAAUGGACCAAAUGGAACACGCGAAUAAUAGUGGAGGACCAAAAGGGAAAUUAAUCCCGCCUUCCCGAACGCUGCGUUUAGUACGGAUCAAAUUGAAACAAAAAUAAAACAUUUAGCUAAAUUUAAAAGAAAUAAAAAAUUUGAUUUAAACAUACUGCGAAAAACAGGGGGACCAAUUGCGAAAAUUUCCCAUUUAGGGAAAGAACGCGCGGACCCUGCUUGCGGGUCUGGUCGAUGCCCAGAUCCUACCCUCACCAAACGGCGCCGUUUUGCUUAUAUUAUUAAAACCAAAAUUUCCUUAAAAAACAUUUUUAUUUCAUUUUUAGAAAACAAAGCAGAGGGGAUGGGGUUUUCUCUGCUAGCGUUUUGACCCUAGCACCUUCACGCCGCCGUCGUCAUGCCCACCGUGAAGCCACCACGACCGGCGCUCGGCACCAGGUAAAGCGCUUUUUCCUUUUUAUUAUUUUUUCUUUUUCUUUUUAAAAGAAACAUGGAUAAAAACCAGAGAAGAAAACUCGAAGAGGGAAGAAAAAAACCAAAUCACCUUCAAAUUCUUUUUGCUUUUUAUUUUCUCAUAUCUUUGUAUUUUUGUUUACACUAAUUUCUUUCUCCCUUUUUGAUUCAAUCUGCCUCCCCUUUACAAAAAAAGAAAAACCCUUUUAUCACUUUGUCAUCUUUCUGUUAUGCUAACGUGCCUGCGGUUUGUGGUUUGUUGCUGGAAGAUUGUGCAUGGUCUGAGGGCGACGUGCUGCGAUGUUCGCGGAGGCGUGUGAGGGAGCCGUGCGGCGCGCCCUAAGGUUUCUUCCUCCUUUGCGGAAAACAUGUUGUGGGCCUAUUGGGCUAGGGUUUCUGCUGUUUAUGCUAAGUAUUUGGACCAUUUGUACUGGGUCAUUGGGUCUACAAUUUUGGGUUAAUGUAAUUUGGAUUUUUAAAAUUUAGUUUUAAUUGAAUUUGGUAUUUAAUUUUAUUUAUUUAUGUACGGGCCCGGGCAAAAAUUGGGCAUUACAUAUAUAAAUAAAACUUAGAACUAAAUCAUCUACAUUAGGAAUUAAAUGACCCAAUCUAAAUCUGCAUUUCAAGAGUAAGAAGUUAAAUGUAAUCACAAAUUAAAGAAAAUAACUUCAAAAUUAGAUACCAGCUCAUAGAGCUUUUGUGUUUGUGCGAAGGUAAUAUCAUUUUCUAAAAAAGAUAUUAUUUCAUUAUAUAUAAAAUAGUUAGUUAAUUUAUUAAGAAAACUAUUUGAAUUAAAUUAAUAAUUAAAGCUUUUCAUAAAAAUAUUUAAUUAUAAUUUAAUUAUUUUAUUUUUAUUAUUGAAAUUGGGUUCAGUUUUUCGAUUUGGGCUUUUGUGAAUUUGAGCCUUUUUGUGUUUGAGCUUGAAUUUUUUUAUUAAAUUCUUAAACUUGGACCCAUUUUACUAUCUCUAUCUUUAAUAUUUUAUUACUUUUUGAUAUUUUUAAUUUAAUAAUAUUAUCAAUCCAACCUAAUAAAUAAUAUUAAAAACUGGUUUUUAUUGAAGUUUUAAUUGGUAUAUAGAUGUAAGAGAAUUUAAUUGAUAUUUAAUAAAAAAAUUGAAUAUAAUUUUCUAAGUUUUGAUAAUUUCAUAAAUAAAAAUUAAUAAUUUAACUAGAAAUAUCAUUAACAAAACCCUAGUAACUUCUUGGUUCUUUCAUCAUCUCUAAUUUAUGAAAAGUGGGAGAUAUUUGUAUGUGUAAUUAGAGACUGCAAAAUAAUAAAUGAGGGUUGAGAACAUAAACUCAGAAAACUAGUCAGAGCAUAGAUGAAGACAGAUGAUGCAUGUUAGGCAUAAAAAUCUCUUGGUUUUAGCACCUCAUCCAUGCAAAGUCACAUCCAACCCCCAUUGCUCCAUCGCCUCUCCCAGUUACUCCUUUUCCCUCUUAUAUCCUAACGGACAACCAAAACACCUUGUAGUCAGUUCUAAAGCUGCCUUCCUAGUGUAAAAGGAAGCCCCAUUAUUAUUGCUUUCACUGCACAUCCCCAUCCCUCUAAACCUCCAACUCUUCUUUAUAAACGCCACCACCUUUCUCCUCCAAUCCCCACUUCUUCUUCGCUGCUUCUUUCUUUCUUUCAAUGAUGCUGUUAUUUUCUUUUUGUUUGUUUUAUAUAUAUCUUGUCUCCUUUGGGAAAGUUCCUACAUCUCUUCAUCUUUGUCUUGGGAUUCUGGGUUCUAUUUCAUUGGUUUAGAGAUCAAUAAUGAUUGGCAUAUCAUGUAGCAGUGUUUUUCAUCUAAAGUCUUGCAUGUGGAAACGAGGUUAUCUAUCUAUAUGUGAUACAGCCAAGGAUGACUUGCCGGCUCACUUCUACUUAACAUAAAUCAUGCUCUCUACAUAAGCAGCUAAAAGUUAGAGCACUAAGCUAAAACCUGUAUAUGUUGUCAUCAAUUAAUUUAUAAUAAAUGUUAAUUGAUCGGCAAGUCAUCCGUGGCUAUAUCAUUGUCUCAUUUUCUCAUUCUAGAUUUAUGAUGAAAUUACAAAAAUAGAAGUGAAUCCUUGAGUGCUGAUGAACUGCUCCAUAAACGCUUCAAGGUAAAUCAGAAUGUCUAGUCUUAUAUAUUUUCCUUUUGCCUAUGUUGCAAUCUCUAUCCUACUUUAUUUACCUUUUAUUCCUUUUUAAAUUAUCUACUGGAGCUUAGCCAUGGACACCUUACUUUCCCUACUACUAUCUUAACCUUUCUCUCUUGCAGGUUUCAAUUUGCUCCAUUUCCUUGUUUGCUUAGUGAAGCUCAUGUAUCGAUUCCAGAUAUAAUUUGUACAUAAAGAUAUUAAUUUCAAGUAUUUUAUAUUCAUAUUUAGCGGUGCAAAAAUUCACAUGAAUAAUAAGUAUAAAUAAAUCAUUUCUAUUUUAAUAUCGCAGGAAAGUUGAAAUAUUAAUACAUCCGUGCUAUAUUAUAGACAUCGUACAUGGCACAGAGUUUGGCAUUUUUUUUUAAAAAAAGAGGACAGAAAGGUUGGAAAGUGUUGUCAUUUUCUGCUAAAUUGAAAUCAUGGUAGUGUCAAUGUCAAGCAGUGUUAACCAAACAAUAAAAUAAGGCAAAUUGUGCAAUGUUGCAUUCAUAAUUUCAACAUUGUCUUAAAGGGUCGAAACAUUAUACUUGUUUGCGUCGGUCUCAUUUAUUUACUUUUUACUAGUGAUAAAAUAGUUGGGCAUAAUGGGAACGUUUGCGAUGCUAUCUUUUUCUUAAAAUAAUGGUACAUUUUUGGCUUCACCUUUGUCACUAUUAAGGGGUUGUAUCUCCCUUGAAAACAUUUGUAGCCAUUGUCUUGGUCUUGAGGAGAACAAUCACUCUCUUAAGCUGCUUCACAAACAUUACCAUUACAAAUUUAAUUUGGUUACUAGAAAGGUUUUAUGAAUUUUAAAUAAUUUAAUAUUGCAUGCACACUUUAUUAUUAAAUAAUAGUUUUAUUUCAACAUAGUUAAAUUUUAAAUUCAAGAUUUUUUAGUUAUUAUUUAAUUAAAUUUAAAUAAAUUUAUUAGUAUUUAUUUAAAAAUCUUUUUCUUUUCUAAUGAUGAUGUAUCAUAUUAUUAUUUAUUGACGGCGCAUCAAGUAUUUUCUGUAAAAAAUUAAAAAAAUAUAUUAUUCAAGUAUCACUUUUUAUAAAUGUAUGAGAUCUUUUGCAUAUUUAUCUAGAUUAAUUAAUUAUAAUUGUUCAGUCGAUUAUUCAUUAUAUUAAUUGAAGAAAAAAGAAUUGUAAGUCAGCAGAGUAGGGUUUUAUUUUCUCUUAUAUAUGAAACAAAGAAAUUAUUUUGAAAAUUAAUUAACCAAAUAGUUGAAGUCGGCACCUAGAGCAGCCAACUUUCAAAGUCAGCACCUCCAGGUGUCAUCCUUUAUAUAUGUGUAUAUAUUUUAGGCUCAAAUGCAAAAUGAAAAAAAAAUUACAAAUAGUCCCAUGUUUUAUCAAAAUUUCAUGAUAGUUACUUUCAACCCUUUUUUUCAGUUUCGAUACAAAUUUCAUAGGUUUCGAGCCAAGAAUUUGGUGGGAACCGUAAGCAAAUAUGCCAUUUAUUUUAUUAAUUUAUUCUUUUUUAAAGGAUUUAUCUUAAAAUUUUGAUAAAUUACUUCAUAUUAGUCCAAAGCAUAGAAACAAGUUGUUCUUACAUCAACUAAAAGAAAAGAAUAAUGUGAGAAACGGUCCCUCGUAAUUUUAUCAAAAUUUCAAGAUAAAAUCUAAAAAAGAAAAAAUAAAUAUCAUAUUUACUUAAACUUCCCACCAAAGUCUUGGCUUGAAAAAAAUAAUUGAAAGUAACUAAAAUUAGUAAUCAUGAAAGUUUCCAUUGGUUGCCUUAGGUGCCGAUUUCAGCUAUUUCAUUAAUUAAAAAUUUCUGCCUAAAUGUCAUUUUUGUAGACUAAGAUAAACACUAGAUAGGUUGAAUGGUGAAUGUUUGGCACGAUACUGAUUAAGACACUUGUGCUACAAUCAUAAUUUGUGUCAGUACAUCGGUAUACUUCCAUCAGAUUCAUUAUUAUAUAAUAUGAAGAUAGUCAUGAAGACUACAAUUUUCUCUGCUCAGUUAGGAGUACAUUGAAUUCAUCUAAAAGCUCAUGUAAGUGAUGACAUUGCUUAAAAUUUUGCAAUAUAUUAUUAAAAUUUAAUGUAAAAUGUAUUUAAGGUUUGCUCAACCGAACCUUUGAUCUGAAAAAGAAAUUGGGAAGCUGAUCAUUAGCAAAUGAAAUUGGUAUGGGCUAGAUAUUAGGCCCCCAUGAAAGUCAAAGUUAGAUGUCUAAGAUUUUAGACUCUAGACCCUACAAAAUUAACUUUUGAUGACCACAGCCUAACUAGGCCCAACCAAGGAAUAAAAUAUUGAAUCCAAUCUUUGAUUUUUAGUUUAAUUUAAAUAAAAUAAAAAUAUAUUCAAUUAGACCAUGGAUAACAAUAAAUAAAUUCUACAACUAUUCUUAAUAUUAAUACUAAUUUAUUAUUUUAGAUUUUUUUUAAUUACAAGAUUUCCAAACACUUUCCUUUUUUUUUUUUUGUCAAUAUGAUAAACAUUCCAAAAUAAAAAGCUAGAUUUUAAUAAAAAUUUCAAGAUGGAGUAUAAUUUCACUAUUUAAAAAAUUAUUAAACCGUAUAACUUUAUAUUUAUAUAUUUAUAAUAUUUUAUAAUUAAAUUUAAAUAAAAAAUGGUUCAAACCUAAGUCAAGUCGAGCUUAAGUAGAUCAUUCAGCUCAUGACCCUUUAUUAAAAAGAAAUAAAAAAGACAUAAACAAGUUGACUAUGUAUAAAUAGAGCUGUAAUAAAAUCGAGUCAAGCUCAAUUCGAAAUUCGAAGUUUAAUAAUUGAUUUGAGCUCAAUCUGACAUUUAUUUUUAAAUUUAAGCUCACACAUAUUUAAGCUCAAACUCAACUUUAAAUCUGACUUGAUAAUUAAAUUUAGGGUUAAUAAUAUAUAUUAAAAACAAUAACGUAAGUAUUUAAAAUACAUAUAUUAAAAUCGAAAGGUUUAAUAAAACUCAGUAUUAAACUUGAUACUAAUUUUAAUUAAAUAUAAAUAAUUUACGAUGACUUGGAUAAAUUUUCAGAAAGAAAAUCAAUUCAAUAACAUUAAUAUUCAUGAAACCCAAAUGGGAACACUUUUAAUUGCAAUUAUACAUGUUCAAAGGUUAGUUUGAUAAGAUGGAUCGGUUGUGCCAAGAGUGCUAUUUAUUAAUAUUAAUUAAAAAAUAUAGAAAUAUUAAUAGUAUUUUUGAAAAGACGACCCCACCCCAGAACCAAUUUAAGUGCAAUAUAAGAUUAGUGAAAUUAAAAGAAGGAAUGUUGAAUGAUAAACAAAUGGCAUGCCAUUCACAGUGCAAUUAAACAAAGCAAUCAAAUCUUUAUUAUAUUAAUAGGGUUGUUAUUGAAUAGACCAACCAUGAUCUAGCAUGCUCCUUUAGUUGGUUGCAACUUCCACCACAUUCUUCCCUUCAAGAUCUAUUACAUGUGAUCUUAUUAUAAUCGCAUUAAAACUUAAUUAUUUAUAUUAUCAUCAUAUUAUUUGGCAAUAUGAAAGGUAAGGUGAUUGCCUUGUCUAAUUUUAUUUUAAUUACUAGUGUGUGUGAUGUUGCCACUUUCCUAAUCAUGUAUAAUUAUUGUUAGACUGUAUCAUUAUUUGCUUCAUAUCUUCAAACAAUAUAAUAAAGUUUGAAUCUUUGAACAAUCAAGGUGUUUUUCUUUAUGUGUUUCCUUCUUUGAUUAAACACCUCAAUACAGGACUCCCUAUAAAACCAUGCCUAAUAUUCUCAGUGAUUAACUAUUUUAUUGCACCUCUUUUUCCCUAUCUUUUCCACGUGUGUGUGUGAUUUUUUAAUUUUGGAUUGAUAGUUUUACCUCCUCAUUAAAUGCUAAACACUAUAAAUAGAGUAGCCUAACCCUAAUAAUUAAGGACCUUAAUUGUACUUUACCCCGAAACAUGUGUUUUGUUUCUCCUAUUGAAAUCUUAUGUCGAAAUAUAAGUAUCAGGUGCUUGUCAACAAUCAGCAUUUGGAUUGAAUUGAGAAAUUACUUUUUUGUUAGUCAAUAAGAACUCGUCACAUGUAUUGUGUAGUUAAUUCCGAAUUCAUCGUGAUUUAUGCUUAUCGAUUUAAACAUUUUACUUCCAAUCGCUUCAUUCAAAUGUGAAAAACAUACUAAAAAAAGAGAUCAUCGAAUCUUUUUUUUUUAAAAGAAAAGCACAUACCCACAACAAUAAAAACAACCAAGAAGCAAGGAUAACAAUAAAUUUUGAGUGUCCAUUAAUUCAUAGUUUAAUUGGUAUCAAUAUUACCGUCAGUGUAAUAGGACAUCGAUUAGGAUCGGCUGAAUCACAUUAUCAUUUAGACAUUAUAUAAAAAAAUUUGAAGGGCGUUGGCCUCAUCUGCUCCUAAGCCUUAUACACAAAUCCCAUACCCUAGAUACGUAGUAAUUGAUUGUAUGGAAUUACAAGUAUCAAAGCAUAGAAAGUGAAGUUGAAAUCAAACACUUGAGAUCCAACAAUGAUAGAAAUAUUUUUGAAGUUAGGCCAUUCCUUCUUAAAAUAUAGCUUCACUUAACUAUAUCUCUAUACACUAAUUAAGAUUUAAUUAUUUAGACAGCAAUAAUGUACCAUCUCUUAAUUAAUUUACAUGUCAACACACAUUAUUAAAUCUAACUGUACUUUCCACAUUUAUUUAUUUUUUUCUCACAUCUUACGUGGCACAGCAGAUGUCAAACUUUGACUUCAAAUAAAGUAUUAGCCGUUGGAUCAUGAAAGUUGCCAAGAUAGAUGAAAUUCCUGAAAUUGGCUACCUCCGUCACCCGCACUUUGGUCCACUUUCAAAUAAUUUAUUUCUUUUUCCCGAAAAGGAAAUAAGCUUGUCUGUAUCAGGAAAAAAAAAGGAGAAUUUUUAUUAUAUGGCAUAAAACUAUGUUCUCACUUCCUACAAGGUCCUUGUCAAUUUCAUGUUUACAACAAUAACACUAGGGUAUUUCAGUCUUUGUGUUUGAUAACAAUCAACGGAGUAUGGCCCUCACGUGGAAAUAGUUAGGUAAGAAUUUAUCUUAAAACUAUUUUCGUUUUCUAUUAUUUAAAAAGAUCUUUAACUUUAAUUUUGGUCAAUGCAAGUACAUUAAAAAUUAAUAAAUUUCAAUAAUUGAGAAAAACGUGAAUAUUUAAACUACAAAUUUUUUUAUGAAAAAUAUUUUUAGUCUUUUUUUUUAUAUUUGUUUCAUAUAAAAUAAAAUGGUCAACGUAAAAAGGUUUUUUAUUUUCUUAUUCCCAUAAGAUGUCUUACUGAUUUUUUUUGUAAGAUAUUUUCCAAACAGAUAAGGCUCUGUUCACUGUAACACCCCUAUGCCCGAUCUAAACAUCGGGUCAAAACACGAGGAUGUUACAUUCUUCACUUAUCAAAUAUUUUCUUAUAAAAUUUCAUAACUUUUCAAUUUAGUCCCUUUUUGUCAUAAAAGUUCAAUAUUCACUAAUUAAUCAUAUUCAAUCAAUUUUCUUUCUUGUUAACUUUAAUCAUAUAAUUUAUCUCAAUAUCUUGUUUAUAUAUCAAAAUUCUAUGUAUUUCACUUCUAUUAUUUCAUCCACGUAUUUUAUCAAGUUUAACAAUUUAGUCCUUGUCAUCAUAAAAAUUCUAUAUUUUUCCACAAUUUCACUUUUACAAUACUUUAUACAUAUUUCAUCAUCUCAUAACACAUUCAUUAAACUUUUAUCAUAAUUUUCUUAUUCUCAUGUUAAAUUGUUUCACACUUGAACUUUUAGGCAAUUUUUAAUUUAGUCCCUAUUUCCAUGUAAUUUAUUUUUCACCGUAUAAGCACUUUAAUCAAACAAUUCAUUAUAAUAUCUUACUUCGAAUGAAAAAUUUUCAUGCAUAUCACUUCUCUUGUUUCAAUUAUAAAUUUCACAAAGUUUAUAAUUUAAACCUUAACAUCAUGAAAAUUCAUUAUUUACUACAAUUUCACAUUGACAUCACUUUGUAAUCAAUUCACUACUUCAUUUAAACUCUUUAUCAUAAGUCUCAAAUAUAUGUUUGUUUAAUUGAAAACAACUUUUACGAAAUAUUUUCAGGAAAUUUGCCAAACAACAGAAAAUAUUUUACACAUAUUCAUCCAAACACCAUAAAAUAUUAACUUUUCCAAAAAAAAAACCAUUUUCCAGGAACCAUGUUCAGUGAAACAAACGUAGUCUUAAUAUGUUUAAAUUUUGUUUUGGAUUAAAAAUUUUCCGGAGACAUUAUUAUGACUAAUCUCUCAGAAACUAUAUAUGAAAAAAAAAGUUUGUUUUACUUGCCAAUUGAAUUAUUAUUAAUUAAUUUUCGUAAUUAAUAUUUUUUAUAAAAGUAUAAUCAUUGUAACUUAUUUAAUGCAAUUAUCAUUGUAAUUAAAUAUUCAAUUUUUUAAAGAAAAAUUACAUGAAAAAAAGAACAUGUAAGAUAUAUUUAUGAACACCAUUUGACUGUAAACGAACCUUAAUUAGGCAAUGGAAAAAUAUUUUUCAAUACAAAAGAGGAAAGUUUGCUUGCUCCCCUUCGGAUAAGAAAAAAUAUAUUUUGAAAGUGGUAAAUGAGAUUUUAUUAAUCAUAACUAUAUGAUAUGAAAAUAUAUUUUCUGAGGGAAUGAUAUGAAAAUAAUUAAAAUAUCAAACAAAACAAAAAUAUUAAAAUUUAUAUCAACAUGGCACGAAUACAAAAUACAAAUAUAUCAUAACUACAUUUCUAAUAAAUAAAAUAAGUUUUAGGAGAAGCAUUUGGUACACUGUUAAUAUAUAUUUUUAUUCCACGAGUAUAUGUCUCUUUCUUUUUAAAUAUUUUAUUAUAACCCUAUAGAACAUUUGUCAACCUCCGACUCUGCUUGUAGAGUCUAAAACUCUAUUACUAGUGUACCAAAUAUUAUUCAUUUAUUUUAUAUAUUUUGUUUGGGAUCGACAUGUAUAAACAGUGAAAUAGAAAAGGUAGAGAAGAUCGAACACAAAUUUUAUGUGAAAGACUCCUCUAAAGAGGAUAAAAACCACGGGAAAAAGGCAAAAGAGGCUUCGGCUUUUCACUAAAUGAGUAAACAAACGAGAGUAAAAUAUGGAUCAAAUAAACCUAAAUGUACUAAACGUACAAACCCAGACCCCGAACCAAAACUCAUCUGCGGCUACAUCUUGACGCCCCCAAAAGAAAAAAGUAUUGUAGUACUACAUCUUUAAUUCUCUUAUCGAAACAGGGAUACAGGGCCCCUUUAAAUAAGCUAAGUUUAAAGGGCUAAAACAACUAAAAUAUCCUUGAAGUAAUCAAAGUUCGACUAAGAGAAGAAGUCCUACUUGGUUGUUAGAACACAGUUGUAUUACUUGAAGAAUACGUUGUCUCGUCAUGACGUCCCAUGCAUGCUUGUCAUGAUGUGGCCCUCUCCGUCAAUUGGAGAACUCGUUGCAUCGUCCUGACGUCCCUCAUUGUGAUGUCGAUGUCCUCCACAUCGUGCCUAUUUGACAGUUAUCUUUGCUAAGUGUCCGAUAAAUGCGAGACACACCCUACAUAUAUUUUUAAAAUUUUUAUUAUUAUACCUUAUAUACAUUUAAUAUCAACUUUGUUAAAAUGUUAAAUUUCACUCAUAAUGUAUAAAAAGAAGAUUACAUAGAUACGGAAAUUUAAAUCUAAAAAUGAAGUUAGGUUUGCAAAUAGGGUUUAUGAUUUAGAGGAAUCUCUAAAUUUCCAAUCUUGGCAUUGUACCAUUGCUAACCAAACAAAAAGAAUAAUAACGAAAACUGGUUGUGGAUUUCAUCAUUCAUUUAUUAGUAAUAUAUUUUUAGGGUUUAGUAGUUUAUAUAUUUUCUUUUUUCUGUGGGCAAUUUUUAAAAUAUUUGGUUUCGUAGUUUCUGUUAGGUGCAUUUGUCAUCCUCGUAUGAACUCAACUUCGACAGGUAACCUUACAUUAGAGGUUGUUAUUUUUCUCCUUUUGUCUAACAAGAACCAAUGCCUCUUUCACAUUAAUUCAUCUUUAAUAUUACACUCAUAUUUUGGGGAAAGUUGAGGGUUCACUCUCAAUUUUAGGCUAUCCAUGUGACCAUGUACACUCAAUUUCUGCACAUUUGCAUUUCCUUUAUACUUGUUAAUUAGGGCUCAGAAAAAAAAAACUUAAAUAAUUGAAAAUUGCUUUAAACAGAUGUUUUAUUUUUAAAUUAGAUUAAUUUUAUAUAUAUUAUAAAAUACUUUGAGUUAAUUGCAUCAAAUAUUCCCAAACUAUUAUUUUCAUUUUAAAUUGGUUAAUAUUCCUAUAUUAUUGAGGUUAUAUUGAUUAGGUCAUCCUUUUACUAAAUUAAAUUAACUAUUGAAUAAUACGUCAGAUCUUAUGUCACAUAAUUUAAAAUUAAAAUUUUAAGAAAAGAUGAAUAUUGUGAAAAUGGUUGUUUUAAAAUAUCAGUUUUGGGGGUUUUAAAGUUUUUAUAGAAUCUGUAUCGUUCACUUUUUUUUCAACUUUACUUUAGGUUAAAAUUUUAAUUUUAAAAGUUAAGCACCAGCAUUCUAUUUCUUUUUAAAAAUUGUCAUCCUAAAUUUAACUACAUAAUUCAUUUAACAAUUAAAUUAACAACUUUAAUAAUGAUUGAUAGUUAAGGAUGUAAUUGUAAUACCUUAAAGUUUGAGAAUCAAUUUAAAGUGAAUAUCAUAGUUUAGGGGUGUCGGUACAAUUAGCUCAAAUAGUUUUUCUCUAAAAGAUUAUAAAACAGUGAAAUUGGAUUUAGGUUGGUUGAAGUUCUAUGGUAUUAAUUUGGUUGAAUUUCUAAAAAAAAAAAAAGAGAUUAUAAGCAUUAGCCAUAAAUAUUUAUAAGUAAAUUUAUAAAAAAAUAAAAAUAAAAAUUAAAUAUGAUUUUGGUUAAAAUAAUAAAAUUGACUAAAUGUAUUUUUAAGUAGGGCUCAGUUGAGAUUUAAGUAUGAUAUUGAUUACAUUUUAUAAUAGCUUAAGUCCCGUUCGGCCCAAAAUUUUAACUAAGCUUGUCCAUAAUAGAUUGAUAGUAAAUGAUAAAUCCAAACUCAUUUUAUUUAAUUUUUUUAUAUAUUGACAUCUUAAUAUUUUUUAAUAUUUACAUUAUAAUAUUAUAUAUCACCACCAAUUUAAUUUUUGUAUGUGUUUUAAAUUGCAUAACAUAUAAAAAAUAACAUAACAUAAUAUAAUAUAUUAGAAAUUUAAAAAUAAGUCGAGCUUGGACCUUGAAUGCUCGAGCCUAAGCCCGACCCAUAUUUUAUAUGGACUUGUUUUCUUUGCCAAAGCUCAUUUUUUAGACUUAAGAUUUUUGCUUAAAUAUUCUAAAAUUGACUUAGAGAAACUUACGAUGAUUUGGGUCCAAAUCUUAUUGUUCUUAUUUCGUAGAUCUAUUGUUCUAGAUUUAUCAAAUUACAAAAAUACAUAAAUACCUUCAAAAUAAUAUUCUUUACUUUGUAGAAGGAAGGGGCUUUUGGUAAUUUUCGAAUUGAGUUUAAUUUUAAUUGAUGAGUGACACCAAUUUAGUCCGCCCUUAAUAUAUAGUAUAGAUAAUAAACAUGAUAUAACAAAUUAAAAGAUAUAAAAUAACAAAUGUUGAAAAGUAUUGUGGCGUGGGUUCAAAUUCUGUUUCAUGUAUUUCAAUUUCUAUUUUCCGAUAUAAAAUAACAAAAAUGCUUUGAAAAAUAAUAUAAUUCUACGUCAUUUACAUCAAUAAACCUUACUUUACCAUUUAUGCACGCUUUAUUACCUCCCUCAAUUGUGUAUAUAUGAUAAAUAUCUCUAGUGCAUUUAAUGUUAUUAAUCUAAUGUAUUUACGUAUUUAAAUUUCACUUUACUCGCAAUUUAAUGCUUUCAUUUUAAUAUCGUACAAAUCGAAUGUGUUAUUAUUAAUUAGUUUCAAACUAGAUUUAUCAUUAUUUAUUGUAUGUUAUUUUUAAAAAUAUUCUUAUAUUCUAAAUACGUAAUUUCUAUACCGUAAUAAAAUUUCUAAUAUUAAUAUGAUAUUUAUAUUUAUAUUUACAUUUAUACGAUUGAGAUUAAGGGAAAAAAAACAGCCAACAUGCAAAUUUUUUUCACCCUUUCCUUGUAUUUUCAUGGUAAAGCAAAAAAAAAGAAAAGAAAAAAGAAUAAGUUAGUUGUCCUGCUUUUUAUUUUAUUAAGAUAUCAUAAAUUAUAAACACUAGAAAUCAUAUCAUUCGUAUACUUGUAAAAUCAUAAAUUUAAAAUAUAAAUGUAUAUUUAAAAAUAAUAUAUAAUAAAUAAGAAAACAUAUAGUUUGAAAUUAAUUAAUAGUAACAUAUGAAUAUGUAUGAUGUUAAAAUGAAAAAAAUAUAAGUUAAAAUUGUUUAUCAUAGUGUUCGUAAAAUUUGAUAGAGGUAAUAAAGUGUGCAUAAUAAAAAUUGAAAUGUAUAAAAAUAUUUAAAUAAAACUUUAGAUGAGUGGUAAAUUAAAAGUUUUAUUAAUUCAAUUAGUUUGAGUUCAAAUCCCACCAUAUAUAUGUUUAAAAAAAACUAAAUUACACCCGAAUAAUAUAACUUAUUUCAAUUACUAAAUAUCAUUGACGUUAACUGAAUUGGUGACACUAACUUAAUAACUAGUAUAGAUAAGACUUAAAAACAUUUUGUUGAUACUAUUCCAAUUCGUUGUAUUGUUGGUAUUCGGAGUUUAUAAUUAUUUAUUAUUUAUUAAAAUUAUAUAUACAUUAUUAAUUAAGAAAAAGACUGGAUUUUUGACAUAGAUGCUGUAAUAUGUCGUUCAAGUUAUAUUUUUAUUCAAGAUGAUGAUUUUAACACCCAUUUCUUUUCUGAACUUGUUCUAAAUUAGAUUUAACUUCAAAAUUAACCAAUUCCAACCAUCCAAUCCAUUUCAACAACAGUGUUUGAAAGCUGAAACCAUCCACCAAGUGCCUUACAGGCCACGCUUCUUUCCCCCCUUCCUAAAAAACCAGUAUUUAGGGGCUCCAUUUUUGCCCACUCCACUUCCUUUUCUUCUUAACACCAUCGCCACCACCUUUUCACUUCAUAUCUUCCUUCCCUUUUCCUCUUCCUUCAUCCACCUCCCUCGCUUUUUGGCCUUUGAGUUUGGCUUUUCAUUGUUUUAGCCAUCUUAUAAAAACUGGGGUUAUCCUUUCUUAAUUUGAUCCGUAUAAUUGUUGAGGUCGUCUAAGCUGAGGAGUAAGCGAAGGGUUUUGAAAUGGAAAACGUUUCUAGCUUUAGGAACGAAGAUGAACAAAUGGAACUGCCUCCAGGAUUUCGAUUCCACCCCACAGAUGAAGAGCUGAUAACACACUAUCUCUCCAAGAAAGUUGUUGACAGCUUCUUCUCUGCUAUCGCCAUUGGUGAGGUUGAUUUGAACAAGUGUGAACCUUGGGAUUUGCCUUGUAAGUUUCGAAACUUGUUAUUCUCUCUGUUUUUGUUUACUUGGAAGGUGAUUUUUGAAUAUAGAUUUUGAUUGCUAUAUGUAUGUUGAAAUGAAAGGGAGAGCCAAAAUGGGUGAAAAGGAAUGGUACUUCUUCUGUGUUAGGGACCGGAAAUACCCGACUGGUUUGAGAACAAACAGGGCAACGGAUGCCGGUUAUUGGAAAGCCACGGGCAAAGAUAAAGAGAUAUUCAAGGGGAAAUCACUUGUUGGGAUGAAGAAAACUUUGGUUUUCUACAAAGGGAGAGCACCCAAAGGUCAAAAGACCAAUUGGGUCAUGCAUGAAUUUCGUUUAGAAGGCCAGUAUUCCGUUUACAAUCUUCCCAAAACAGCCAAGGUUGUAGAACAAAUCAUGUCUCUGUUUUCCUCUGUUUCCUUUUCCUAAUGGCUACAAUAUGAUGAUGUUACUGUUGUCCUUUCCAUGGUUAAUUGAUUCUUGUUUCCUUUUUGCAGAACGAGUGGGUUAUUUGUAGAGUAUUCCAAAAGAGUCCCAAUGGCAAAAAGGUACAUAUUUCAGGUUUGCCUCCACUAAUGGAUCCCUCACCGCACACCAGCGAAACAAGAACCGUGGUGGGCGCCGGCGAGACGUCAAACGUGACCUGCUUCUCCGAUCCGAUAGAAGACCGUAAAGCAGUGGAAGAAAUGAUGGACAGCUUCGACACUUCCCUUGUACCUUGUUCAUCAUCCUCUGUGAAUUCUCUUCAAAAGGCUUCCUACACCACCAACCAAAUCAAGUCGAACAUGGGAAACUUGCAGUACCCGGAUUGUUUUUGGAUUCAAGAACCGUCCUUAUUAAAGACAUUAAUCCAAAGCCAAGGAGGGCGGCCGAAGCAGAAUCUGAAACUAGAGUUUUCCCAGGAUUCAGCCGUGUCCAACCCUGAAAUGAUUCAACUUCCUGCAUGUUCUGCAGGAGCAAUAGACCUGGGUUACUUCUGGGGUUACUAAAAUUGAAGAUUAAAAACCGAAAAAAGGAAAAAUCAAGGGAUGUAAAUGGAUUGAAAGAGUUGGAAGAAUAUUAUUGUCAUGUGUGCAUAGAUAACAUUAGUAGGGGAAGUCAAGAAAAUGAUUGUGUUGUAAAAGUAGUUAAAAACUUUGUUAAGGUUUUCAUUGCCAUUUUAGGAUUUCACUCUAUUAUCUCAUGCCAUGCCUUUGUUUUAUACACAACUAUUGUAAUUUCUACCAUAUUUUAAUUCCCAUUUAAUUCUCCAAUAUGUUCGAAAAUGUGAAACAAAAAUAUAUUUUUUUUAUUAAAUUGAGCAACUUAAUUUGGAUGUGUUGAGAAAUGAUUCGGAAAAUAUGAAAACCAAAUAUCAUGUGUUGAUGUUGUAGUCUUUUUGGUAGAUUAGUUAGCAAGUUCGUAAUUGUUUGCAAGGAUUAUGUCACGUGUUAGGUCACCAACCAGGGGUCAUCAAUGAUUAAGAGCCAAUGACAAAGUGAUCUAAAUUUUUAAAACUCUCGAAUAUAAUCCUUUUAAUUUUUAAAAAUAUAAAUUAUACCCAAUUAAUCCCAAAUCUUGUCUUACUUACUUCUUUUAUUAUAUAUAGCUCAAAUUUUAAGUAAAGGAGAUUUGAUGGAAUAUGUUUGGGUUUUUCUGUUUUGACAUAAUGAUAAAUUUAGUUUUUAAUAUUUAUAUUUUUUAUUUUGUUAAAUUUGAUUCUCAAUUUUUAGAAAGAGUUAAAUUGUUAUUUUUUAACCGAAACAUUGAUUAAAAUAUAUGAUAACCUACAUAGUAAUCCAUGUGUAGUCCAUGCUAUUUUUUUGAAUAUUUUUAUAAUUUUAAAUUAUCACGUGACAUAUAAGACAAAUAAUGUUUUAGUUAACACAUGUGAACUACCACGCAGAUUACCAUGCCAACAUUGUUAGCAAUUUAAUGUUUUAGUUAACAGUUCCGUUACAAAAAAACUUAUUUGACUUUUUUUGAAAGUUUAAUGACUAAAUUUAUCUAAAAAAAAUAAAUACAAAAGUGACAAAAUAUAUAAAAUUUGUAUUACUUAAAUUCAAUUCAAUCCUAUUACAACUUUAUUUAUUUCAAUCAAAUGAAUUACUAUCUCUUAUUAACAUCUUUCUGUAGUUAAGCUUCCUACGCAAUAAAAGUGACCCAAAAUUUUAAAGAAGUCCUCCUGAAGUUCAUGCAUGCAAUCUCCAAUCUCAUAAACUUAUUUAGAAAAUAGGGUAAGCAAUCUCCAAACAUAACGAAUAGAGCUACAAUGGAUGAACUAACAGUAUUUAGUAGGGGGAUGGCAUGCUGUAAGUCAAUUCCAAAUCACUACACUUUGAACUCUUGUUAGGUAUUCAAUGUACCUAAACUUGUAAAGGAGACAUACCAAAUUCUCCCCCCCCCCCCCCAAAAAACGAAGAAGAAGAAGAAGAAGAAGAAGAAGAAGAAGAAGAAGAAGGGGCCUACAUUUGGAUAAAUUUUAGUAACAGAGAACUACCCAAAUCUGCAUAUUCAUUCACCUAUUUUUAUCCACAUUCGAGUUAGUAUAGAUACAAAAACGUAUUAUUUUCUCUAAAUUUCAUCAUAUAUUUGGAGAGGUAUGCUUUUAGAAAAAUGAAAAUGUUAACGGCUCCACCAAAAUGAACCAAAUAUUAGACACAUUGACAAAGGGUGUUCAGUGCAGCCACUCACAUGGAAUUGACUUCAUUGUAACCAAUUCCCAUCCAAACGUUAUUGUCAUUACUUUUUUUUUUGUCCUAGAAAGAGAUUGAUUUUCAUAUAAUAUUUCCAAGACACCCAUAUUAAGCGACGGCUAUCAUGAAAACAAGCUUUUUUUUUUUUUUUUACAAUUCAUAAUAAUUGCCAUUAUUUUCCUCUUCCAUAUAUAUAUAUUUUCUGCAAAUAUGAUAAAUCAACUUUGCUUAACGUUUGUUGUAACGACAGUUAAAAUGAAAAUAGACAGCAUAAAAAUUAAGAGUGGAAAAGAAUUGACAAAACUAAUAUUUGUUAACGUAGUUCAGACAUAAUGAUCCUACGUCUAUUAAGCCUCACCCAACGAAUAAUUUUAUUCAACAAUCGUCGAAAUAACCUAUUGACUUAAGUUCAAUCUACCCUUACAUAAAGAACUAAUUGCAACCCCAAUACUGACCUUGAUUGUCACAAAUCACUCACUCAAAUAUCUUAUAAUACAUUCAAUAAACUCUCCAAAGAAUACCUAAAAGAGUGCCGCAAAAUAACCACAAGAACAUAACAAAGUUGUUGAAAAAGACACUCCAAAACUACUCUUGGUGUGCAACACAAAACAACCUAUUUAUAGACCUCUUCAUGUGGUUAAUCAAAAAUAUUUUGAUAGACUUUAAACUCCUAUUUUAUUCCGUUAAUUAUCUUGAGUAUUUAUCACAUAAAAGUCUUAAUAAAUCAAUCUUCCAACUGCUCCAAAACUCUCUUGAAUAAAUAUAAUAAUUAUCUCUAAAAAAUUACAUAUUAAGACUUCCAUGCUUAUCUAAUCACCCCAAGCAAUUCGGUUAGGAGUCUUAGCACCCUAGCCGACCCAUGCUUCUAGUUUUGUCAAAUAUGCCACAUCCAAGUGGAUCAAACUCAGCAUAAACGCAACUUAUUCAAGGCCCAAGGCACAACAUGAACAACAACUUUCCCAACAAUCUCCCUCAAGGCAUUUUGACAAAACCAUGCAGCAAAUGGUUAACCCACAAUCCAAAUAAACCACAUAGCAAGACCAUUAGAAUAUGUCUCCCCCUAAAAGAUAGAUCCACGCUUGACUGCACACUCUCCCUAUCAAUAUACUUGUUCAUCACAUAAUUAAUUAAACAUGCACUAAUGUCAUAAAUAUGCAGUAAAAAAAUAUCAUUUAAAAAAAUCAACAUCAAUUCUCCCUUUGACAAAGAGAAAAAGUAGCAACCACAAUCAAGAAGAAAACAUUUAAUUUGUUGCUAUCAUAUUCUGCCCCUUUUUGGCAAAAAUGCCAAAAGUGUAAUCAUAAGUGAAAUCAAAGUAGACAAAAUCACGAAAUCAACAUUCUUACUCCCCCUUACCCUAUUUAUCCCCUAUUAGCUUCUUUAAUGUUAUUUAGAGGGGAUGAGAUCAAAUGCUACUUUAUCAACAAGAUGAGUUGUAGCUUGUGGAACAACAUAGUCUUUUCCACAAAACUUAGGUGAUAUUUCUCCAAUCCUCGAUAAAUCUUUAACAUGGUCAUCAUGAGUUGCAACCUCGUGUUUCACAUGAGCAUCAAUUAAAUGUUGAUCUUCAUUACUCAAAUGUGUUUGAUCCUUCAUUACCCAAAUCUGCCUAUGAUGUGGUUUUCUUGUUCCAUUCAUUAUUCUAAAAAGUUUUGUAGCUAAGUUGAACUUCUUCUAAUCUUGCAUAAUUCUAUAACACUGGGGUAUAAUAUGCCCAUCUUUCCCACAAUAAUGACAUACAAUCUUUCUAAAGUUUUUAUUCUCUGCCUCAUGAAGAAAAGAAGAACCCCCAUAUUUAGCUUUAACAAAAAUUGAAAGAGCAAUAAGUUUCUUACCUUUAUUUAUGUAAGCAAGUCCUUUAUGGCUUGGUUCAAUUCUCUUUAAAGUCAAAAUUUCAUUAAGAUUCUCACUUUGGCCUCCAAACUUCUUCAAAACAACCUUUUCAUAAUCAAGAUUCUUUUCUUGGACCACAAUUUUGAGCUUUUCUUUUUCUCCUUUAAAGAGAAUAAUUUCUUCCCUUAAGGAAUCAUUCAAUUGGCACAAUAUCUCUAUUUUCUUUAACAUAUAGCUAUAAGCAUCCUUCAAAGAUUUAAAAGGAAUAUCAACAUUAUCCGAAUCUUCAGAAUCUGUUGGGAUACGGUUUGGAAUAGUAGUAGUAAAAGCAACAUAUUUGCUCACAUCUUCACCUACAUCAGAACUUUAUUCAUCACUCCAAGUGACUGUGAGUGACUUCUCGUUAGUAUUAGCACAUUCUGAUUAUAAGUGACCAAAUCCCUUGCAUUCAUAACGUAGAACACCCUUCUUCAUUGUCUCACUGAUAUCUACUUUAGUUCCUUUUUUAGCGAACCUCUUCAUGCUUUUUGUGAGCAAGGCUAAUUGCUUUUUAAUCUCAUCAAUGUCCUCCACUAUCUGUUUCACUACUGGGAUAGUCUUUUGAGCAUUGGAUACUAUGUUCUUUGGCAAACUCAACUUGUCAUGUUUUGCUUCAUUUAUAUUCAACUCAAAUGUUUGGAGUGAGUCUAUUAACUCAUCCAUCUUGAGAGCGGUAAUAUCUUUGGCCUCCUCUACUGUUGUGACUUUAAUGGAAAAUUGUUAUGGUAAAGAUCUCAACACUUUGUGUACCAAUUUUAUAUAAUCUUGCAUAAAACUCAGAGAUAUUUUCAUUUUCAAAUAUUUUCAAAAUUUUUAACUUGAUUGUUAAAAUCUAAAGUUUUGACAUGUGUACGACAUCAUUUCCUUCAUGUUGGUUUUUCAAGAUUGUUUAUCCUUCCUUAGCAUACUCACAUAUAGAAAUGACUUUAAGUUGGUUCAGGUCAACUCCACUGAAAAUGACAUUUAGGGCUUCUGAAUUUCCAUGAGAAGCCCUUCUUUUUGCGUCAAUGUAUUUGCUUCUUUCUUUAGGGGGUAUGGUGCCAUAAAAAAAUAGUUACAAUGGGUCGAGUCCACUUAUCUUCAAUAGCUUCCCAAUCUGCUUCAUUGACAGACAUAAUGAAAGCUCUCGUAUGAGCUUUCUAAUAAGCAUCAUUUGCUAAACCAAGUAGUAAUGAGGUUCGAGUAAUCAAACUACCUUCCUUCAUGGUUUCCAUGGUCACAAAUCAAACAAAGGAUUACCUUCUGUUAGGGAUCGACCCGAUUAAGCAACAAACAAGUAAAAAUAGCAGAAGAAAUUGAGAAGAUGAACACACAAAUUUAACGUGGAAAAACCCCUCCAAAGAGGAUAAAAAACCACGGGCAAAGAUAAUUUUACUAUAAUAGCAAAAGAACGAAAAGUACAAAAGAUGGAGAUAAAACUAAACCCCGAAAACCCGAAAAACAAAGAACCCUCAAAACGUAAACACAAAAUUCUCUGAAUGUGUUAUGAGUUCUAAUCUAAUGGGUGUGUUUUCUAAGGUUGUACAAGAGCCUAUUUAUAGGCUAAAUUCAUAUGUCAAAUAAUAAUAAAAUAAUCUAAAGUAAUCAGUGUUUGACUGAAAUAAAUAAACAGAGUUUAACUAAAAGAUUAUUUUUCAAAUUUGACUGAAAAUAGGAGUCAUACUUAACAAAUCUCCACCUUGACUUAUAUUUCUACAACGCCAUCUUUGCCAAAGCCCGCCACGAGCCUAUCUUGAACUAUGCAGGGAAUUAACUGAGUCGAAUUUGUGCUUAGAAACUGGAAGACUUCUAGCCUUCGACUUGUACACUGCCAAAUCAAAACUAACCUAGGUCUAAUUUUCACGAACACAGUGCCCUAACUUUUCAAAACCUGCAUCCAAAAGAGAACCUCUCUUCAACGAAACGGUCAUACAUUUUCCCUCCUAUGACCAAGUUACCUCCGCUCCAAACGAGUUGACUUCGACUCUGUAACGGACGAGGGACGUCCAAUUUCACCGGUCACUGUAGAACUUUCCAGAAUAUAAAGACUGCCUGUUCUUUUACCUUUUAACAAAACGAGAGCUCCACGAGAUACUUUAAUACCGCUUGACUCGAUGUUGAUUCUGCAUCCUUUCAAGUCUAAAAUACUUAAGGAGAUGAGUUUCUUUCGUAAAUCAGGUAUAUACCUGACAUCUGAGAGUGUCCUAAUCGUCCAAUCAUGUAUCCUAAUUUUAACAGUACCAAUACCAAUUACCUUACUAGAUGAAUCGUUUCCCAUGCGCACAACUCCACCUUCAACCGAACUAUAUGUGGAGAACCAUUCUCUAUUGGGACACAUAUGGAAAGAACAUCCCGAAUCUAGGAUCCACUCAGACGUGAGCUUGGAGUUAUCACUCGUUGACACUAACAAGAAAUCAUCACCGCUUUCAUCGGCCAAAUUAGCACUAGCUACAUCUUCCUCGUUACUCUCAGCAGCUUUUUUAUUUUGCAGUUUAUAACAAUCUGCUUUGACGUGACCUAACUUUUUACAAUAGCGACACCUUUUGUCUCGUUUCUUUGAUGCUACCAAAACGGAAGCUUGCCUAUCUACCUUGCUAUCCAAAUGAAGCUCAUUGUCAAGUUUGUCUUUACUCAACAAAUGACCCUUCACAUCUUCGAACGAGAUUUUGUCUCUGCCAUAAAUCAGGGUCUCCCUGAAAGACUUGUAUGAAGGGGGUAAAGAGUACAAUAAUAGCAUAGCUUGAUCUCCAUCAUCAAUAUGAACCUCAACAUUCUUUAAAUCAUUUAAAAGAGUAAUGAAUUGACUGAUGUGAUCUCUAAGAAGCUCACCUCUGUUCAUGCGAAACGUAAAUAGACGUUGUUUCAACACUAAACGGUUAGCCAAAGACUUAGUCGCAUAAAGAGUUUCUAACCUUUUCCACAAGGCGGAUGAGGUAUUCUCCAUCAAUACCUCCUGCAAUACCGUAUUCGCGAGGCACAACUGGAUUACAGACAAUGCCUUUUCAUCAAGCUCUUCCCAUUCUGUUUUAUUUAGAUUCUCAAGCUUUUUCCCGGUAACAACCUUUUUCAAACCGGAUUGAACUAGAAUUGCCAUCAUCCGAACUUGCCACAGAUUGAAAUUUGUCUCACCCAUCGAACUUCUCAAUUUCAAAUCUUGUUGUUGCGAUAUCUGAAUGGGCUGAUCUACGAAAAUUGAACUAGCUCUGAUACCACUCGUUAGGGAUCGACCCGAUUAAGCAACAAACAAGUAAAAAUAGCAGAAGAAAUUGAGAAGAUGAACACAUAAAUUUAACGUGGAAAAACCCCUCCAAAGAGGAUAAAAAAUCACGGGCAAAGAUAAUUUUACUAUAAUGGCAAAAGAACGAAGAGUAUAAAAGAUGGAGAUAAAACUAACCCCGAAACUCGAAAAAACAAAGAACCCUCAAAACGUAAACACAAAAUUCUCUGAAUGUGUUAUGAGUUCUAAUCUAAUGGGUGUGUUUUCUAAGGUUGUACAAGAGCCUAUUUAUAGGCUAAAUUCAUAUGUCAAAUAAUAAUAAAAUAAUCUAAACUAAUCAGUGUUUGACUGAAAUAAAUAAACAGAGUUUAACUAAAAGAUUAUUUUUCAAAUUUGACUAAAAAUAGGAGUCAUACUUAACACAUUCGAAUAACUUUUGAACCUUCUCUAAUACCAAUUGAAAAAUAAUUAGUCUGUGGAAAUGAUAAAUCAACUUUGCUUAACAUUCGUUGUAAUGACAGUUAGAACAGAAACAUACAACGUAAAAAUAAGAGCAAAAAAUAAUCAAUACAACUGAUCUUUGUUAAUGCAAUUCAGACACAACGAUUCUACGUCUACGGAGUCUCGCCCAGUGAAUGAUUUUAUUCAAUAAUCGUCUAGAUCACUUAUUGGCUUAAGCUCAAUCUACCAUUACACCAAAAAUAAAUUGCAACCCUGACAACGACCCCAAUUGUCACAAAUCAUUCACUCAAGUGACUCACAGUACAAUCAAUAAACUCUUUAAAGAAUACUUAAGAGAGUGUCACAAAAUAACCACAAGAACACAACAAAGCUGUCGACAAAGACACUUCAAAACUACUCUUGAUGUGUGACAGAAAACAACCUAUUUAUAGUCACCUUCAAGUAGUCAAUCAAUAAUGUUUUGAUAAGCUUUGAACUCCUAGUUAAAAUUUGAAACUAUUCUAUUAAUUAUCCUGAGUAUUUAUCACAUAAAAGUCUUAAUAAAUCAAUCUCCUAAUUGCUCCAAAACUUUCUUGAAUAAAUAUAUAAUAUUUCUCUCUAAAAAAUAACAUUUUAAUAAUAAUAUUUCUAUACUUAUCCAAUCACCCCAAGCAAAUAGGUUGAGAGUCUUAACACACUAGUCGAACCAUGCUUUUAGUUUUGUCAAAUAUGUCACAUUCAAGUAGAUCGAACUCAGUACAAACAAAACAUAUUCAAAACCCAAAUUGAUGAUGUAAGCAUAGAAACAAUUUGGUUAUAAUACAACAUGGAAUGAGCAACAACUUUCUUGACAUUUUCAAAUUAAUAUAUAUUUCUUUGACAAAAUAAAUUUGACAUUUCAUAUGCACGUACGUAUGUAUUAAUCACACUAUUAUUUUAUAAAAGAUAAAAUUGAGUCAUCUCAUUGAUAGAUGAAUUUUAUUAUUUUUUUUUCGUUUUUAUAUAUUAUUUUAGUUGAUAGAAAAUAAGGUUUUUUCUAAUAAAAGGAAAGAAAUUACAAAUGAAACUUAAAAAAAAAAAAAAAAGCAUCACAAAUUCUAGUAGAGUGAGUUCCAUUGCAUCAUUCGACAGAAAAUAAAAGUGUUCUAGCAUUAGCUAACCUAAUGAAAACGAUCUUUUUUGUCCAUGCCUGAAAAUCAUUAAUAAUGUCAAAUCAACUGUUUAAAUAAUAUUCUUAAAUUUUGACCUAACUAUUUGUAAUUCUUUCUUAUGAAAUGAGUACAUGACAAAUACAAAGAAUACAUAGUAUAAAUGUAUAAAAGUUUAUAUAAAAAAGAAUUAUUCUUAACUAAUUAGAUCUAUUUACCAAAAAAAAUCAAAUUUUGUUGACACAUUUGAAGGCAUAGAAGGUUUCUGUGGUUAAAAUAAUGACUAACUUUAAACACCGUUUUAUUGUCUUACUUGCUUAGAAUAUAAGAAUCGGACUAUCUAUUUGGACGAUAUUUGGACAAGCAAAGCCCAAAACAUGAAGACCAAUUGAGUUGAAAUUGAAGACUUGAAGAUUAAUUUCUUACAGAUUAAGUUAGAUUACUUACAGAACAAGUAAAGUCACGCUCUAUAGUUGAGGCAUUAAUUACAUCAGGAUUCUUACGAAAAGAUUAUCUUAUGCUAAUUUUUAGUCUUAGUUUAUAGAAAAAGUGACUAGAUUAUGACUCUUAUGUAAACAAAACUUAAGUAAUAUAUAAGCUUAAGUCUUGUUUAGGUUUAAAGAUACCAAGAAACCGAGAGAAUUAGAGAAAGCACAAAUUUGUAGUUAGGAAUGUGUAUUUAUGCAUUGUUUUUGUAAGCAAUCAAGAGAUUUGCAAAACUAAGCUUUCAAGGGGAAAGCUUAGUGGGAGAGUAAUUUAGUAUUUGUACAACGGUGGGUUCACUAAAUCCGUGAGUAUUAGGACUUAAAUCAUUAGUUAUAUGUUGAGAAAGAUAAUGGAUCAUUGCUUUGAAUAAGAUCCCCUAGACAUAGACUGAGGUCAAAUUGCAUAAACAAAUAUAAAUAUUUAUAUUUAUGUAAAAACACCAAAUCUAAUUGGAAAGCAACCUACCCUCAUUUUUACAAACUUUAUAUGAUUAUAUAAUACUUAAACACAAUUAACACAUGAAUAUAUAUGAAUUACCAAGAUUUAAGUAGAUAACGUGUACAAUUUAUAGUCAAAAUUAAUGUUGUCUUUUAGUUGUGGAAACAAACAAAUACAAUAAAUUGAGCAUUUAUGUCGGGGACCCUUCACUAGGAUUUUCUGUUUUUUUGGAUAAAACAGCGAUGCUUGAAUGUGCUUUCGGUGUUACUCAGGAUGUUUUUAAUUUGGCCACAAAAGGAUAUUUUGGUUUAGAUACGUCUAAAAAUUGAGUUGCUCACAACUUAUGCUCAUCUUGGAUUCCACUUACACGUUUCUUUUUUUAAACUUCCCUCUAAUCUAGAUUACAAUUUAAUAAAUCUUAAUUAUUCUUAUUUUAUUUUAAAUUGUCAACUUUUCUUCUUACAAAACUACCAUUUUCUUAAAAUAGUUAUAUGUAUUUACAUUUUUAUCUUUUCCUAUAACAAUAUAUCUAUCUAUUUCUAAACAUGUCCCAAAUUAGUGAAAUUUUACAUAUGAUUCGUACACAUGAAAUUCAAUUGAUGAAUAAUUUUUUUCUUUCUUUCAUAUAAAUAAAAGUAAUAAUGAAAACUUGCAUUAAAAGAUUGCAAGCUUAGAGUGUCUAUUUAAAAGGAGGAUUGCUUAUUUAAUGAUGUACGAUUGAGGGAGAGAAUUUGUUUUUUCAUUUUCAGAAACUUAUUUUUAGUGCAUUUAUCUUGUAUACCAACUAUGUCUAUGUUUUGUUUGUGACUAAGUUUUCUCGAGAAAAAUUUUGGUGGAGAAAGUGAUUUCAAUUUAUGCAUAUGAGUGAAGUUGUAACUCGAUGAAUAAGUUAAUUACUCCGUGGGCAAAUUGAUAGUGAAUUACUCCGUGGGCAAACCAAUUCCAUGCCCACCUCUAAUUUUACUGUUUUAGUUAUUUGUAACCACUUGCAACUUACUAUUUCUAUGUCAUCUCUAUUUUUACUCUUUAAAUUUAACACAACAAAUUUCAAUGUUUUCACAUCCACUACUUUUUUUACUACUUAUUUUAAAUUUAAUAUUAUAACAACAUAUAAUAAUUUAUUCAUAAUCAUACUCUUAGUAUCAUAAUUUGUAAUAUUAUACAUAAAUACAUAAAAUAUUCAUAAAAAUGUGGUUUACUAAGUAGAGCGAAACAUUUAUCAGAAUUGUGGCUACUUCUUUUUUUUUCUUUUUCUUUUUGGAAAAGAAAAUAGAGGCCCAAAUAUUAUUUUGGACAUAUUGGUCCUAAACUCCAAAUUUAGUUCAGGCUUCAGCCUUACAAGCCGGUAAUACUAGCUUAAAAAAAAACAAGAAGAUAACAUGAUAGCUUUUUUUUUUUGAAAUUUCCGGAUUGGGCUUUAUUAUGAAAAUAAAUACAUAUUGUUCUAGUCUGAAAUCAAAACCAAAUAAACCAAAACGUAAUAAAAAAACCUAAAACUAAAACAUGGCCCAAAUCAAAAGGCCUUAAAACAAAAACUAGAUAUUAUAAACGAAAAUUCUAGAACCGGCAUUAAUGCACCGAUCCAAUGCCCAAUCAGAAGUUGUUGAAAACCGUCUUCCACUCUUCCUGUCAUUUCAAUUCAUUUUUGACGAUUUCAUUUCCAAAUUAUGCCAAGAAAAUCGAUCCAUAUCCUUUACUAUUCUGAGGCUUCCAUUCUCCAUUCUUCCACUCCUGAAAACUCCUAAUCUGGUCGUCUUCUUCCAUCGUACCGAGCUUGAUCCAUGGCGUACUCAGGAACUCCCCUGUCCAGGUAAAUUUCUUCUCCUCUUUUUAAUGCUUCUGUUGCUAAGAUAUGAGCAAGAUUAUUCGCAGAUCUAGGUGUAUGUUGAAAUCUUAUAUUAUCAAAUCCAUAUAAUUUCUGUUGAAUAUCAUAAAUGUAAGCCCCUACCAUUGAUCUGUCUUGACCCUUUGAGUUGCAUUUCUUGAUGAUUGCGAGGGAAUCUCCUUCAAGAAUCAGAAACUGCCAUCCCUUCUCGGUUCCUAUUUGGACUGCUCUCCAGCAAGCUAUUGCUUCAGCAGCAAAGGCCGAUGAAAUAUUAGAAUGGAUCUCUGAGCAUGAGAAGAGGAUAUUUCCUUCCGAGUCUCUGGCCACAAUACCCGAAGCCAACCGAUUCUGUCUUUUAUCAUAGGCACCAUCGAAAUUGAUCUUUAUGAAACUCUCUUGUGGGUACUCCCAUCUCUGUUUCUCUCCGGUACGAUUCAGAUCUCAUUUUUCAAAGCUAUUGAUUUCCUUAAUGUAACUGUUUAUAAAGUUUGCCACUUCCGUCCCAUUACUCAAUUUGCCCUCAUGUAUGCUUUUGUUUCUAGCUCCCCAAAUAGCCUAAAGUGCACAACAGAAUAUUCGACUUUGAAUGAUGUUGAGCUCCUCUACUACCCCAGUGAGCCACUGUACAAACUCCUCACACUGAUUCGUCAAAAUGUUUUGAAACGAUAAUGCUUUCCAAACCUCCCUUGUUACAUGGCAUUCACGAAAUAAAUGAUUCAUUGUUUCAGCUCCUUCUCCACAUCGGGGACAGCUUGGAUUGACUGCUAACUUUCGGUGUUGUAGAUUUACCUUUGUAGGCAGAUAAUUCCAAGAUAACUUCCAUAUUGUGACCUUUAUUUUAGUCGGUAGAUUUAAGCUCCAAAGUUUUUUGUAAAAAUUCCUAUAGAUGGUCUGUAAAGCGUAAGCUCUAGGAUCUUCGGUUGAUUUUUGUAAUAGUUGAUAGGCGCUUCUGACCGUGAAUUCACCCGAUCGUUCGCCACCCCAAAUAAGAAAGUCAUCAUGCGGUGUUUGUGCCAGAGGGAUUCUGAGGAUUCUGGCAGCAUCAUCUUCCAGGAAGGUACUGGUAAUUAACUCUUUUUUCCAACUUCUGUUAUGAUUAUCAAUCAACUUAUCAACUUUAGCAUUGCGCAUAGAAUUAAUUUCUGAUGACAAUCGAAAAUUAACUGAAUCUGGAAUCCAAGCAUCAUUGAUAGAGAUAUUAGUACCCAUCCCCACCCUCCAACAGUGCCCUUUUGACAAUAAAUCUUUGGCUGCCCAAAUGCUUUUCCACACAUACGAACAGGAAUUUCCUAAUCGAGAAUUUAAGAAAUGAUCGUUCGGAAAGUACUUAGCUUUGAAUACUUGAGUUACGAGCGCGUUCUGAUUAUGCAUAAGCCUCCACCCUUGCUUAGCCAGUAAUGCUAUAUUAAAUUAUGCCAUAUUUCUAAAGCCCAUACCACCCUCCUCUUUCGGCCUACACAUAAAUUUCCAUUGACACCAGUGAAUUCCUUUCUUUCCUUUACCUUUCUGCCACCAAAAUCCAGCAAAUAAAUUAUCAAACUCACCACAAAGCGAAUUUGGUAGUAGAAAACAUGUCAUUGCAUAAGUAGGAAUUGCUUGAAGUACUGAUUUGACGAAAACCUCUCUGCCCCCUUGAGAUAAGAAACGGGUGUUCCAAUUUUCAAUUCUAUUCUUAAUAUUGUCUUUGAGAUUCUGAAAAGAUUCCUUUUUCUUCCGACCUACUAUGUUUGGCAGUCCUAGAUAUUUCUCCAUGUUAGUCGAACACCUUAUUCCCAUUUCAGCCGAUAUACUUCCUUUAUCACCCUCUACCAAAUUCGAACUAAAGAAAAUCAUGGACUUAUCAAAAUUAACACAUUGACCAGAACAGGCCUCAUACUCUUGCAAAAUAGCUUUUAGGUUCCUUGCACUCCUUUCGGUGGCUUCACCAAACAAAAUGCAAUCAUCUGCAAAUAACAAGUGUGAGAUUGUUGGGCCUCUUCUGCUUGCUCUCACCCCUUUAAUCAACCCCUCUCUUGUGGCAUUCCUGAUUAAGGACGAUAAACCUUCACUGCAAAUAAGAAAAAGAAAAGAGCUAAGUGGGUCACCUUGUCAGAGUCCUCUAGUUGAUUUGAAAACUCUACCGCUCCUCCCAUUUGUGGUCAUAACAUAAGAGACUGUAGAAAUACAUCUCAUUACUAAUGCCACCCAUUCCUUCGCAAAUCCCAUCCGUAUCAUCACUUCUUUCAAGAAAAUCCAUUCAACUCUAUCGUAGGCUUUACUCAUGUCCAGCUUAAUCGGCAUGAAUCCCUUUUUUCCUAUGCGUUUUUUCCGAAGAGUAUGUAGAAUUUCAUAGGCUAUCAAAACAUUAUCUGAAAUAAGCCUCCCUGGGACAAAAGCACUUUGAGCGCUGUCAAUACAUCUCCCAAUGACUUCUUGAAGACGAUUGGCAAUAGCUUUGGCUAUAAUUUUAUAUAGGACUGUACACAAACUAAUCGGUCUAAAAUCGACAAGAUUUGUAGGAUUGAACUUCUUCGGAAUAAGAGUAAUCUUAGUUAGGUUUAACCCUUCCACAUCUUUUCUGUUGUUCAAAAUUUCCAAACAAAAAUCCCCAAUAUCUCCACCCACAAUACCCCAGUAUUUUUGAAAAAAUAGAGCCGAAAAUCCAUCAUACCCUGGAGCUUUUGUAGAACCCAUUCCUUUCACUGCUAUGUAGAUCUCCUUUGUCGUAAACUUUUUCAAAUGGGCAAUGUUAAUAUCCGAAGAAAUACUAUUUUGAAUACCUGUUAAAAGGUGGGAAGAAUCUCCAACACCGGUAGUCCAAAAAAGCUUCUGAAAAUACUGCGUCGCCAUCUCAUUAAUUUCUGAUUCCUCCGUAAUUCCUUUUCCAUCAGCACUUUCAAGCCUACUGAUUGUAUUAAUUCUUCUCCGCAUAGAUGCAUAUUUAUGAAAAAAUGCCGUGUUCUUAUCUCCUAACUUCAGCCAAUUAGCUCGUGCUCUCUGUUCCCAGUACAUCUCUUCAUUUUCAGUCUUCAUACUCAAAUGAAUUCUUUUAGCAAUAAUCUGGCUCAUAACAUCUUCAUCAAGCUCCUUCUUCAUUAAGUCUUCAGGCUUUUUUGUAAUUUUGUCCGUCAACCCUUUUCGUUUCUUCUUUAUGAAUUUUGCCCAUUUCGAUAAGCUAAUUUGUAGAUUCUCAAGCUUCUCUAGAACCGAUCCAUUUGAAAACGUCUAGGAUGUCCGAAUUUCUUUUUCUAUUGAUUCCUCUGUAGUCCACCAAGCUUCAAAUUUGAAACUUUGAUCAAUCUUAAAUCGGCUUGCAUUAGUUGUGCUUAUUAGGAGAGGACAAUGAUCCGAAAGGGUAGACGUUACAUGAUGGACAUUGCCUGUUGGAAAUAAAUCCAUCCAUUUUUCAUUCACCACACCCCUAUCCAAUCUUUCUCGGAUGUUCGUCUUUGGAAGGUUCCCCCUUUCCCAUGUAUACCAUAUUCCUGAAUAUCCCAAAUCUAAAAGGUGGCAAUCUUGCAGAACUUCCCGGAACUCUACCAUCCUCCUUUCCUCUCUCGGUUUACCUCCCCUUUUUUCAAAUGAGUAAGCAAUUUCAUUAAAAUCUCCACUCACUAACCAAGGAUACUCUCGCUCCUGUCCCAAUAUCUUAAGUAGACCCCAUGAGGCAUUUUUAUUUUGUGAGUAGGGUGAUCCAUAAAACCCAGUGAAUCUCCAAUCUUCAUGAACACAUUCUUCUUUGACCAACACAUCAAUAUGACUUGUUGAUAGGGAUUUAAGAGUAAUUUGAGCCUCCUGUCGCCAUGCUAAGCAAAUCCCACCUCGCGUUCCAACAGCUCAUAUUUCAAGCCCAUUCAUGAAUCCACACCUUAUUCUAAUUGCUUCCAUACGUUUCUCACUUACUUUAGUCUCCAUUAGGAAGACUAAUUAAGGAUUAUUUUGUUUCAGUAAAAACCGAAGCUUUCUUACUGCCCGUGGACUCCCCAAUCCACGGACAUUUCAACAUAUGAUUUUCAUUGUGCCCGGUCGGCUUGCCCAUUGGCAGCCGCCGAUCCUAUCUGGUUGGAAUAUUCCAUUUGCAAACUGGUUUCAUCCUCCGUGAUUAAAUCCUGUCCAUUGUAUCUCGCCCUUUUUGGAUUCUCUUCCUGAAUCUCUUUUGCCCUGUAUUCAUCUUGUACUAACUCUGCCAAUUUCCUUUUUUGCAAUUUACGAUCUACCUCAUGAUCUUUCAUCACUCCCAUUAAUUUCAUUCUUUUCCAACUAGCUUUCCUGACUUCAGAUUAGUGACGUUACUAUUUACAGUGUCUCCUUCAUUGAUUCCUUCUCCCUUCCUUAUUUCUAAAUCUGCAGCCAUUGAAGUCACCCAAACGCCAUCUUGGACUUCUUUCAUCAUGUCACUACUGUGUUCCAUGUACAUAAAUAUCUCAUGAUCCUUUGCAUUACCUCCAACAUACGAGCAUUGUGGUUGUAAUUUUUUUGAUAAAGCAUUUAGCUUUAGACUUUCCCUUCCAACCAACGUUGAUUUCGCUUUUAAUGCUAAAGAGUAAGGUGGAUCCUCUUUAAUUCAAUUUUUCUCUGCAGGAUUAAUUUCUGAGCAAUCGUGGAUGCCAUGCCCCAACCUAUCACACCCAAAACAGAAAGUCGGCAACUUUUCAUACUUGAAAGGGAUCCAAAAUUUGUUCUCAUUCCCUAUUGAAACAAAAAUACCCCUGCGAAGGGGUCUCUGUACAUUUAACUGCACUCUGAGACGACAAAAUUCACCAAGUAUUUCAGAUCUGAUCACCCCUCCAAAAGUGACUCCUAUUGCAUGCAGAAGAUCUUUUUUAUCAAAUUCUGGUAAACACGGCCCAAUUUUUAUCCAGAACGGAGAUGAGACAAGUUUAAUUUGAUCUCUCGUCAUUGGUUUACUCAGUCGAUAAAACAAAAUUAAUUGUUUCCUAAACAACCAUGGCUGGCCUUCCAUAACAAUCUCUAAGUCCUCUUCUAAUUCAAACUCUAUCAAGAACAGAUUUUGUCCAACCACUUGAAUCACGAAUUUCUUCCUUGUUUUCCAAAUACUCCUCAUCUGUGCUUUGAAGCUUUCUUAGUUGUAAGAUUUCUUAGUCCAUAUAGAGCAUAUCAGAGAAAAUUUACCGCUUGGCUCCACCAUCGAACUUUUUACCGAAAGUUGAAUAAGCUCCUCUGUUAAUAAGGAGAUCUCAUCUCCCCCAAACCCAUCUUCACCACCACUUUCCAUUAUCCCAAGCCACAGCCGCCACUGUAAUCGCUAGGAUACCAAGGAUAGCACUCUUGGUUUCUAGGGUUUUUUUAUUGAAAAUCAUAUAUAUUUGAAAACUCUUUUAUAACAUGAUAGCUUUUAAAAUUGGUAUAAUAACAACUUUAACACUUAACAUUUGUUCAUUGUGUUAAUUUAAUAUUGAUUCUAAAAAAUUUAACUCUCAACGAUUUACACAUUACAUAAUAUAGUCUUUUUUGUAGUUUAACUUUUCAUUGUGAGUUGAGACAGUGAGGGUUAAUUUUAAAAGAAUGAGAAAAGAUGAAAAAUAUCUUGAUUUUUUUUUGUUUUUCUAAUUUUUGGUUUUUUUAAUCAAAUUUAGCUGAAUUUAAUUUCUUUUAGAUACCAGGAUCACAAAGAAAAACAAAGUACAAAUAAAGAUCAAAUUACACAAUUUGUAAAUAUCGAGGGUUAUAUUUUUUUUUAAAUCAAGACUAAAUUGAUACAAUAUAUAAAUGUUGAAAGUUAAAGUUAUUAGUAUGUCAAAUUUAAAACAAUCAUGUCAUCUUUCUGUUAUUCAUUUAACGGUGACCAAAAAUGAUAAAAAUAAAUAAUUGAGUAACCAUUUUAUAAUCUUUUAUAUUUAAAGGAUCAUAUUACCCAAUUUUUUAAGUCCUGGGCAUGUUAAGAAAUCACCAGAUUUUUAUCGCAAGGUUGUUUCUUAACCCGUAUGUAACGGUUAAGUGCACAGUUUCAUUUAACCCCAUAUAGGCUUAAUUUUGUCAAGAAAUCACCAUAUUUUAUUUCACUUUGUUUCACUAAUUCAAUGCGCACCGUUUAGUUCACUUUGUUUUAUUUCUCUAGUUUUAAUUUUGUCCCGUAACAAAUGCUGCCCUCCAAAAGAAGAUCAUUGUCCUCAAGGAUCAAAGUGAGAAUAAGUAGCAUACAGCUGUUGCCGUGGUUCAAUCCUUUGUUCACGCUAUUCUUGUUGUUGCUGAAAGUUGACCUAGGCAAGCAUAACCUUAAUCUAGCUCCCUAUGAGUGUCUCAUGCUCAAGCAAUGCGUUAGCAAGUGCAUAAUGUUCUUUCCUGUGGGUGGUGAGAAUGGUUUUUGUAUUGUCAUAAUCCCUCUCUAGCAACUCCCUCACUUCUUUCUCGAUAAAAAGCCUAAUCUCAGUGUUCAUGCUCCUACCGUUGUAUUGUCAUAAGCCCCACUUCUUUACUCAUGCCAUACCUUGUAACCAUGCUUCGAGCUAGAUUAGUCACAUUCUUAAGAUCAGACUGUGCACCAGAAGUAACUUCAUUUUCCCCAAAGAUAAGCUCUUCUACAACCCGUCCUCCCAUAGCAACAUCAAGCCUUGCAAGCAUUUGCUUUCGAGAAAAGCUUGUUUUAUCCUUGUCAGGCAACUGGUACACCACGCUAAGAGCCAUUCCUCGAGGGACUAUUGUUACUUUGUGAACAAGAAGUGCCUCAUUAGUAUGGAUUGCAACAAGGGCAUGGCCAGCUUUAUACAAGGCUGUCAAUUUUCGUACUCCUCAGAAAUCACAACUGACUUGCGUUCACUUCCCAAUAUGAUCUUAUCUUUUGCAUAUUCUAGAUCGGCCAUUGUAACUGCUUUAGCACCAUCCAUUGCAGCCUUUACAGCAGCAACAUUGCUCAAAUUUGGUAGAUCAACACCAGAGAAUCCAAUAGUACCUUUAGCAGUGAUCAUUAAAUCAACAUCUUCGGCCUUCAAGACCUUUGACAUGUGGGAUUCCAUAAUCUGCCUUCACUGUCCAAGUCCUUUACUAAUCCCUCUAUCUUCAACAAGUGCACCAAUACCAAAAAUCAACAAUAAGCCAAGUGCAAGACUACAAAAAAUACAGCACAAUUGAUCAUUAAAAUUCCCUAAUUCUGAAGACACCAUGUGGAUAGGAGCACUAGUAGUUCCUAGGUAACUAUUUUUUACAGGUUUUCCCAUAUUUCGCAGAGCUGAAAGUCCCCCCUUUACUCUCUUUGUCUCUUGCUGAAUGAGAUAUACCUUUUUGUAAUGUCUUAAGCAACUCACUUUCAUCUAGCGUAUCGACUUUGACUAAUGCUUUAACAUACUCAAAAACUGCAAAAUGGUUAGAAUGCGAAACAUGACUCAUCUAUUUCACUAGGGAAAGUGAGAAAUGUUGAAUCUAGUGCACUAAGUGUAAUAUUUUCGUCAAUAUACACUUGUAAUUUUUUUCGAACAAAUUGGUUAAUAAAACAAAUUCAUUGAUUACAUUAACAUACUUUAUAUAAUUAUCCUCACAUGAUUUUUGCACGCAAAGCAAAAUGGAAGCAAAUGUUGAUCAUUGGUUAUCUAAAUGUUUAACUAAUACUAAACGGUAUUAGACCUGAUCAUGGGUCGGGCCACCCGACCCGGCCUUGUAACACUCCUUCCCCGUAUUCGACACCGGAAUAGGGUACGAGGCAUUACCAGAACACAUACACUUGUAAACGUAUUUAACCGAGUUAUAAGAUUUCAUCUAAAUUAAAACUUUCAAAUUAUUAACAUGCUUUUAUAAUUCUUCAUAAUAUAUCAUCAAAAUACUAUAUUCAUAAUAAAUAGGGCCUACGAGACCCGAUACAUAUUCAUGCAAUUCAUAAGUCUUAAUAAUUCAAUGUUUCAUUUCCAUUUCAUUCAAUUCACAAAUUUCUCAUGUUCACAAUUCAAAUCAUUAAGUUUAAUUCUAAUAUGUAUUUACCAUUUAACUCAACAUUUAUCGAUUAUACCAUUCAUUAACACAUUUAUGAAAUUCUUAAUUUUUGCAAUGAAAAUAUCACUUUAGCUUAGAUAACAACAUCAAUUCAACUCAUCAUCUCCUUUUUCGUCAUUUUACAUUUCAAGUAUGAACUUACUAUUUCAUUACCUUUCCACACUCGUUUCCUAUGCACAUCACACUAGAUAUAAACAUAUCAAUCAACCAUAGUCGCAAGCUAGUGUAUUUAAAUAUAACCCUUUUUGGAACUAACCACAUGAUAAACCAUUUCACUAGAGAUUACAUAAUUUAAACCUUACCACCCUUUUCAUGAUCACAAACAUAUUUCCAAUUAGGCACUUACCAUUUCAAUGCAUAACUUAUAAAUUUAACGUGGCAUAAUCCAACCACUACUUGGCCAAAGCCUAAGCAUGUACACCAAAUAUGUUAGCCAAAUACACAUAUAGCAUAAGCAUUAUAAGCAUGGAUGAGCACAACAUUUAUUCAUGUAUCACACUUACCAACAUGUGUUAAUUCAUAAACCAUUCAUGACAUUACUUCAUGCCAAAUCAUAUACCAAAUAUAUCAUACACACAUACUAUGAAAUUUUAUUUUCACACAUGACCUUAAACCAUGACCAAUAAUACACAAAUAUAAGCAUCAUUUAUAUUUCAUCGUUUAUCAAUUAUAAUCGAGCAUAUGAUCAAUUAUACACAAAUCAUUCAUAUAUUUCCCAAUUUUCCUCCUCCUCCUCUCCAUUCCACAUCCUUAAUAUGUAUAACACAUUUAAACAACAUUAUCCAUACUAUCACUAUUUUCCUGUAUGUAAAUUCAAGUUGUCUGUCUAAGUAAGAGUCGCUAAUUUAUUUAUAUCUCAAGCUACAGAGCUCCAAAUUAAGAUCCAUUAAUUUUCCCUGAAACUGGACUCAAAUAUCUUCUUAUCAUAAAAUUUUCAGAAUUUUUGGCUUAGCCAAUAAGUACAGUUUAUUCUUUAAAGUUUCCCCUAUUUCACUGCUCGACAGUUUUGACCUCUCUGUACUAAAAAUUAAUUAUCUCAUUGUACAAAAUUCUGAUAAUAUUCUCAUUUGUUUCUUUUGAAAAUAGACUCAUUUAGGAUUCUAAACAUAUAAAGUAGCCCAUAAUUGUUUUUGUACAAUUUUUAAUGAUUUUCCAAAGUCAAAACAGGGGAUUUCAAAAUCAUUCUGGCCCUAUCUCACUAAAAUUCAAAUAUCUCAUAAUAUAAAACUCUUUUGCUUGCUCUUUUUUUUAUACGAAAAUAGACUUAUUCAGCUUUAAUUUCAUAUAUUAUUCAGCCUCUAAUUCAAUUUUCACCAUUUUUAGUGAUUUUUCAAAUUCACACAACUGUUGUUGUCUAAACUGUUUUAUUGCUGAAUGUACUCUUUCAUAAUUUUUCACUUUUUCUUACUUUUCUUUUUAUCGAUUAAGGUCAAUUUCUCAUCUUUCUUGAUUUAUAACAACACAUUUAACUUAUUUAACACUCACAUUAUUCAAUUUAGUUCAAAAUCACUCUUUGGAAAAAAUUACAUUUUGCUCCUAAACUUUUCAUUCAUUCAUAUUUCGUCCCUAGGCUCGAAAAAUGAAAUUCAUGCAAAAUCAUAUGUAUCUAUAACAGUCCAUAUAUUUCACAAAAAUCAAAAUUUUCCUUUGAAUUUCACAAGUUUACCAUUUAAUCUCUAAAUCUCAAUUUCACCCAAAAUCACUUUGUAAAAGUUGUUUAUUUACUAACAACCUUUCAUUUUCUACCAUAAAUUUUC